GCAUCUGCCAUCUGGUUCUCAUCACGAGGUAUAUGAUACAGCUUUACUGUUGUGAAGAAAGUCAACAGUCUUCUCGUGUAAUCUCUGUAGGGGACCAGAUUAGGCUGGAGAGUAUUCCAAUCACCAUUCACUUGAUUGAUCACUAGAGCUGAAUCUCCGAAGAUGUCCAGAGUCUUGAUUCUCAAAUCAAUGGCUUGCUCAAUACCCAAGAUACAGGCUUCAUACUCAGCUUCAUUAUUGGUGCACUCAAAAGUCAGACGAGCGGUGAAAGGCAUGUGGGCACCUUUCGGAGUGGUAAUGACAACACCAAUUCCACUUCCUUUGGCAUUGACGGCCCCAUCAAACAUUAAAGUCCACUUUUCAUCUGGAUCAGGUCCCUCCUCAACAACUGGCUCUUCACAGUCUUUCAUCUUGAGGAACAUGAUGUCUUCAUCUGGAAAAUCAAACUUCAUCGGCUCAUAAUCAUCAAUCGGCUGCUGAGCAAGAUAGUCUGACAGAAUACUCCCUUUGAUGGCUUUCUGGGAUGUAUACUGGAUGUCGUACUCUGUCAGUACCAUUUGCCAACGAGCAACCCUUCCGGUGAGAGCUGGCUUCUCAAAUAUAUACUUGACUGGAUCCAUUUUGGAGAUCAGUAAGGUCGUGUGAGUCAGCAUGUAUUGUCUCAAUCGCUUAGCAGCCCAUGCAAGUGCACAACAUGUCUUUUCAAGCAUUGAGUAUCUCGACUCGCAAUCUGUGAAUUUUUUACUCAGGUAGUAGAUGGCAUGCUCUUUCCUACCUGUCUCGUCGUGUUGACCGAGAACACAAUCCAUGGAAUUAUCGAGUACUGUCAAAUACAUAAUCAGUGCUCUCCUUGAGACUGGAGGCAUAAGGAUUGGAGGAUUCUGCAAAUACUCUUUUAUCUUUUCGAAAUCCCUUUGGCAAUCAUCAUUCCACCUGAUAGCCUGAUCUUUUCCUAACAACUUGAAUAUUGGCUCACACGUGGCUGUUAGGUGAGAGAUGAACCUUGCAAUGUAGUUCAACCUCCCUAAGAAACCAAGGACUUGUUUCCCUGUUCUUGGCUCAGGCAUUUCUUGUAUUGAUUUUACUUUGGCGAGAUCCAUCUCAAUCCUUUUUUCACUAACAAUAAAACCCAGCAGUUUUCCAGAUCUCACCCCGAAAGUACACUUGUUCGGAUUAAGCCUCAGCUUGAAUUUCCUCAAACGCUCAAACAGCUUCUGCAAAUUCACCAAAUGUUCUUCUUCCGUCUGAGAUUUGAAAUCAUAUCGUUCAACAUAAACCUCGAUUCAUGAUGAAUCAUAUCAUGGAAAAGAGUUACCAUAACUCGUUGAUAGUGCCGCCAGCAUUUUUCAGACCACACGGCAUCACCUUGUAGAGAAGGUGCCCCAUGGGGUUAUGAAAGUUGUCUUCUCCAUGUCUUCUGGUGCCAUCUUAAUUUGAUUAUAGCCAGAAAAGCCAUCCAUGAAGGAGAAUACCGAGAACUGAGCCGUGUUAUCCACCGAAACGUCGAUGUAAGGUAAUGGGAAAUCAUCUUUAGGACUAGCUUUGUUCAGAUCCCGGUAGUCAACACACAUCCGUACCUUUCCUUCCUUCUUAGGUACUGGAACGGUGUUUGCAAUCCAUGGCGGAUAAUUGGUAACCGCUAGAAAUCCUGCAUCUAACUGUUUUUGCACUUCUUCCUUUAUCUUGACAGCCUUCUCUGGUCUUGUUCUUCUGAGCUUCUGCUUGAUCGGAGGACAAUCUUCUUUGAGAGGCAAACGGUGUACCACAAUGUUUGUGUCAAGCCCUGGCAUGUCCUGAUAAGACCAAGCGAAGAUGUCAACAUACUCUUGUAGCAAUUCAAUCAGCCCUUUCUUCACAUUAUCUUCCAAAGCAACCCCUAUCUUGAUUUCUCUCUUGGCGUCCUCGGUGUCGAGAUUAAUCACUUCAAUAGACUCUUGAUGCGGUUGAAUGACCCUUUCCUCCUGUUUUAACAACCUAGCAAGUUCUUCAGGGAGUUCACAAUCUUCAUCCCCCUCUUCCUCAGCUUGAAAGAUUGGAUUUUCAAAGUCGAAGCGAGCCAUAGCAGAACUGUUAUCAAUAGGAUCCGAUGACGUGCAUCUGCAUGAGUGAUGGUAUGUGCUUAUGAGUGUGAACAAGGAGUGAAAACUAAACAAAACAUUGCCAAAUAUUUUUUGAUUUUUUUUUAAAACUGCAAAAAUAGAAAGACGGUGAACAAAAUAUUUGGAUGCAAAAAGACGUCCUUUAUUUAUGAUAAAUAAUGCAGGUAUCCACAUAGGUGAGCCAUACAAUGAGUCAUUACGCCCUGGGCGGAACGUAAGACUUGGAUAUGCAUGAAUAAACAAAGAAAAUUACUCUUCAAGAAGAGUGACUUGGAUAAUCUCUUUAGAAGACCAAUUGCGGAGAACUUCACCCGGGACCCUUGAACGCACCCAGUUGUCAAUAUCGUAAUCACUACCCCCAUCUUCUUCGUUGAUUGCAGAGAUCUGGCCGUAUUGAAUGAUGCCAACACUGGCAGGAAAGAGAGGAUCAACAUCUGCAUUCUCAAACACUUCUUCAACAACCCCUUCAACAGACUUUUGGGCAGAUAGGUCUUCAACCUGAAGGAUACCAUCGUCAAGCAAGGCCUAGAUACCCUGCUGCAGCUUCACACAACCUCCGCUCUGUGCAACACAACCCAAAAAACCGCUCCCACAACCGGGGAAAACAUCUGCCUUUAGCAAGUAUUCUUUGAUUUCUAACAGCGGAGUCUUCAACUUCAACACAUCCUUAACUGACUUGACUUCUCCUUCAACCAUGUUAACAUUUGCUCCACCAUGCUGCGGCAUGGGAUUGUUGACGACAUUAGGAGCCAGCGCAAAGUUAAUGGCCUUUGAGUCAAUAAGGUCCUGAGCUACGCGCUUAAAAGCUUUGCAGUUCUCAAUAGUAUGGCCAUGUGCCCCAUAGUGGAAAUUACACCUAGCGUUGGGGUCAUAACCCACUGGAAGCCUGCCAACGGGAGGAGCCAAAGUGCGCAACUGCACAAGUUGCAACUGCUGAAGGUUGGGAAGCAAUUGGGCGUACGACAUCGGAAGAGUGUCGAAAUGCCUAUCCAUCAUCCUCUGUCUCUGUUGAUAAGCAGGUCUGUUACCCUGUUGUUGUUGGUAUUGAUUUUGUUGACGUUGAGGUUGUUGUUUCUGUUGAUAAGCAGGUCUGUUACCCUGUUGUUGUUGGUAUUGAUUUUGUUGACGUUGAGGUUGUUGUUGUUGCACUGGUGCUGCAGCCGGAAUGGUCACAGCUGCAACAUAAGGUUGUUGAUGGUAAGUUUGAAAAUUAUUCCUUCUGUUACCUCUUCUCUGAUAAGAAGACACAGCAUUUGCAUCCCCUUCUCUCAUCUUCUGUCCUCCUAAGAACGACUUCUUUGACCCCGAAGAUGAUCCAACCCCGUUUUGGAUCUUACACGUCUUCAAGUAGUUCUCCACCCUCUCACCGGUUGAGACCACAUCAGCAAAGUUUGAGGCGUUGCAACCCACCAGACGCUCCAAAUAAGACCCAGAUAGUGUGUUCAUAAACAUGUUAGCCAUCUCUUUUUCCAACAUCGGAGGCUGAACACGGGAAGCCAUCUCUCUCCAGCAUUGAGCAUACUCUUUGAAGCAUUCGUUGCUCUUGAGAGACAGAUUCUGGAGUUGAGUUCUGUCAGGUGCCAUAUCCGCAUUGUACUGAUAUUGCUUCACAAAGGCCUCAGCCAAGUCUCUCCAGCAGCGAAUAUGGGCUCUGUCCAGCCUCAUAUACCACUCCAAGGAUGCCCCAGCUAGGUUGUCCUGGAAGAAGUACAUGAGCAGCUUCUCAUCAUCAGAAUACGCAACCAUCUUACGGAAGUAAGCUUGUACGUGAGUCUUCGGGCAAGAAUGAGUCUAUAUUAGUAUCCAUCACUCGUCUGUGUGGUCCUCUCUCUCCUCCUUAACCUUUUGUUAAGUAAUUCUCAUUAACUUUUGAAUGAGUAAUUCAACCAUCAUUCUUCUCAACCUUUUGUUUGGAAUAUCCCUUUCCUUGUGUUAUGUAGUCGUUAUUACCUGUUCUACGAGAAAAACCAUAUUUUCCCAGCGAGGUCGUCCCUCAUUCCCAUUUCCUUCUUAACCUUUUGGUAAGGAGUUUCUCGUCACCUUUUUUAAGAGAAGUUUGUCUACCUUUUAUCUUAACUGUAUUUAGGAACUUUUGUUUCUCUUGCUAAGAAGUCGUUGCUGCCUAUUGCACAAGAAGGUCGUUUCUCAGUUGAGUUGCUUGCCUUUUUAAGACGUCUAUCUACCUUUUGCAGGAUAUCUCAUUCCAAUUAUUUAUACCCUUUGGUACUUGCCUUUUUCAAAACACGUGAUUCUUUUAUCUCUGUGGAAUUCUGCGGGAACACCUCGACCACCGGUUAGUGGAGGCAAGAAAGAAAAGAAAAAAAGAUGAAAAAGAGAAAUAACGAAAGAAGAAGAAUAUAUAUCGUGCAUUACACACAUUGCAUUAGCAUUGUGCAUACCUCAUACAUGUCUAACCUUCUAUAACCAUCCUUUCACCCUUAUAAAUACCCAUCUGCCAGAUAAAUUUCCAAUCCUCGGCAGUUGCUCUGCACAAAGACUAGUUUGUUCACCCCACAUCCCGGUGAAGAAACUCUUUGCGACCUAUCUUCACAUUACAUUCCAUUUGUUCUUGGUGGGAAAAUUUUCCGAUAUUCUAGUAUUUAAUUCCCUCCUACAUUAAUUGUCUAGAAGUCGUUGCUAUUCAUACAUUCAGGUCCGAGAAGAUUAAAUAGGGGUAGCUGUCAUACCCCAAAAUUCACCUUACCCUUCAUAAUAUUUAUAUAGAUCACUAAACCUAAUCAUUUGCAUAUCAUCAUAAGCAUUCAUCUCAUUUGCAUAAAUAUGAUUCAACACAAGGAAGCAGGUGACUUGAAUUCAUGGUUAUGUGCUUACACCUAGUGGAAACUAGGGCUUUUUCAUCAACUUGAGGUGGAUCAAUUAAUCAAACCCUAAUUCAUUGGUUUGUGACAUUGGUAGACCCUUUCACUUGCAUGGUAAAUCACUCAUCUUUAGGCAUUUGAUCAAGCAUGAUCAUGCCUUGAUCUUUCGGGUUUGGCACAUGUCUUGUUGACCAGGUGCCCAUUUGGUUGCAUACCAUCACGUUAGCGCCUCGAUUGGCUUAGGUGAAGUCUAUUUUUACGUUUCGGUUAGGUGAAGUCUAGGGUCUUCGUGUUCUAGUUUUCUUUUUUUUCUCCUGCUAGUUACUUAAGGUUAAAGAGUGAUGGAGCUUUAAGAUGGCUUCGUAUUCAUUCAUAUAUUUCCAAGCGGAUUGAGCUUAUUCCCUCAAACAAGGCCCAAACGAAUUAUGGUGCCUCACACACUCCCUAGGCCAGGUUCACCCCAUGUGAUUGGGCUUAUCCCACUCAAUCCAAUGCCCAAUCUGAUGUUUUUUUUAGUUCACCUUGCCUUGUUUUUUUUGGUGUUAUCCUUAGGUUAAUUAAUUUAGUUUAGAUAAUUUUAAGAUUAUAUUAGUAAUCCUUUAGAAUAUUAAUUUGAUAAUCAACUCUAAAAUAUUAAUUAGGAAGUUUUAGAAUAUUAACUUUAGAUUUAAUUCUAGUUAUUUGGUUUUUUAGAAUAUUAGAAUAUUAAUUUUUUUUAAUUCUCUUAUCAUUCUUGCAAUUUCGAUUUUGAUUAAUUCUAAUUGCUAAUCUCUAACGUUUAAUCAUUGAUUUGUUUUUCUUUUUAAUUUGUUUUAAUUGCUUGAUUGAUACAUCUUCCAUACUUCAAAUCAUUGAUAGAUAGACAUUUGGUUGAUUUAAUCUUCAUUGAUUCAAAAUUGUUGAUAAAUGAUUAUUAGAUCAUUUUCGAUACUUUGAAUCAUUGAUAGGUUGUCCCUUCAUACGCCAUAUUUUGAGUCAUUUGAUUUGUGGAUAGAUAAUCUCUAGUAAUCGGUUCCAUUUUAAAAUUGUCUUCUAACUUCUAACUCCUAACAUUUAUAUUACGCUUCUAACAUUUGUAUUAUGCACCUAACUUCUAAGAUUUAAAUUCUUGUCAUUUAUUUCUUUACAUUGUAUAUCAUAAGUCCCAUUCAUCAUCACCAUUCUCCACCAUUAUUGACCAUCUUGUUAUUCAAUCUAAAACGAACAAAAACAUGAUAAAAGGGAAAAGACUAAAACAAAUUAAUUGGAGUAUUAUGGACUAUGGACUUAAUGAUUGACCUUAACAUUAGACAUCAGUAUUAUGGACCAUAUGGACUCUUGUGUAUGACCUAAGAUUGGAGACUUAGAGGACUUGUUAGUACCCUUGUAUUUGGACUAAGACUUGUGUGAUUGACCUAUGCAAUUUGGAGUUUCUGAAGACUUGUAAUCUUUUAUUACAAGAAUGGAUAGCAUUCAUAACACUACCUUAGGGAGACAUGCUUUGUAAUUCCAUUAUCCAAUUGUUAGCUUAGGAUACAAUGCACAUACGAGGCUUUCUCUUGAGCUACCUUACAUCGACACCCUUUAUUUCUCGCAAAAAUCCCUUGUAUUUUUCAUGUAUCUCUCUUCCCACUUUGGUGUACUUUUUACUCGUUUUCUUUUGUCUUGUUAUUUCUUGUUAGCUACCCUUAGGAUAUAGGAUCGUCACUAUUUCAUAAAUAAUAAACAAACCCUUGAUUCAAUGUCAAACGGCAUUUUCUCAAAUCCUCCUGGUUACGAUGCCAAUGCAAGGUGUGAAUUCCCCUCUGGUGCUCUCGGGCACACUAUUGAAAACUGUAAAUCUCUGAAGCACAAGGUACAGGAUCUUAUUGAUUCUAAAUCCAUCUCGUUCACACCUAAUGGUCAAAGAAAGCACGUAGAAAGGCAAAGAAAUAAAUUCAUCACAAGAGCCUUUAAAAGGCUUAAUUGUCUAGUAGGAAAGUAAAAUAUUGUUCAAAAGUACAAAGUGCACAUCACCAUUGAUGGCCAACAUAAAAAGCAACUUAAGUAAAUUUAAAUUUCAUGCUCAUUCUUCUGGCCUUCUGAUGUUGGAUUAUCAUAUGUCACGUCCUUCAAGCCUUUUUUUUCAGGAGAAGCUUCUUCCAUGUCGACUAGUUUCCCAUCCACCAGAGUCCUUGAGAAAUUCAUUCUUGACACAUCAAGGUUUGGCCGAUGCAUAGAGCUUGGGUUUUGGCCCUCUCAAAGGAUUCGUCGCUAGCGAAAAUCAAAUUCACAUGGGCAUCUUACAAUGAUUUCUUCAGAGUCUCGUUGAGGGUCCGAGAUUGCUUUAUUUCUUGAGUUAAGCCAACAUUAGUUGCCUCCAAUUCUGAGCAUUUGGUUGUCAUUGUUUCCUUCUGCUUAGUCAUUUCCAUAAUUGAGAUUCUGACAUCUCCUUUUGCUUCUUUAUUUCCGAGAGUUGCUUAGUUAGUUCUUCUACAUGAGUAGUCUGGGCUUUCAAGUUUUCCUUUGAUUGAUUUAGCUUUUUGUAAGGAGAAUUUGAUUCUGUUCAUGACCAUUACCCACUUCAAAUAAACCCCUAGGCAUAACAUCAUAUCUCAUCAAGUAUGCCCCAAGAUUAUGGGUCAAUUGUUGAGCACCAAUAAACUUUACCUUUUCGACAUCCUCAGUUGCGUUCAAAUGAUCAUAAGAAAUCUCAACCUGUCAAAACUAUUGGACUAAAACUUAAACUCAAAAGAAGGUUUGGAUUGGUGAGUACUACCUGAAUCUUGCAAAAAAGUGGUAAUUGUCAAGUCAUCUUGGCUGGCGUCAUCACUCAUCAAAGUCUUCAUUUUCUUUGGAGAGUUGGGCUUUGGAUCCUCGGAAGUGGAGGCAGAGGUCGGCUGGGGCUCCGAUAUGAUAGAGGUUACUUUAGCAACAUCCAAUUUCUUUCGUUUAUGGGCUCGAGUCUGAAUGCCCGUAAGGUCGCUCUUGGAAGCGGACUGAUCUCCACGCCUCGUCCUAGCCUCGGCCAUCAAUUUUAUUCUAUUCGAAGAGCUUGAGAUUUAUCAUGUUAGCUGACAUUAAAGAAUCAGGAUCAAUAAAAAGAAUGACUAAUGACGUCAUACUAGAAUGAUAAGUAAACAAGUGAACGUUACCCAAAAGUAACUUGUUCGAGGUCAUCAAUUAUCUGUAAAAGAUCUUUGAGUUUCACUACCCGUAAAGCAUCCAAAACCAGAGACACGUAGAGGAUUAUCCAACCAAUUGAUAGGGGAAUGGUAGGUCCUAUUUAAAUCAUACAUAACCCGGGGAUAUCCUGUCCCACUUUUAACUCAGAGGAACUUGUCUUUAAACCCCUUAUAGUUAAUAGUGUAAGCUUGCAAGAAGCUCUUUCCCGGAAUUCCACUAAGGGAAACCCAACCUUCUUUUUAUGCACCUUUUAACUCAAAGAACGACAAGAAUAAACCUAAUGUUGGUGUUAUGUCCAUUGUGUCACAAACAACCUCAAAGGCCUUAAUAAAGCUUCAUCCAUUAUGGCGUAAUUGCGAGGGGCUGUGUUUAGGUUUUUGAGAAGAUCAGAUUCAAAUCCAUUAAAUGGAAAGUGGACUUUAAAAUCUUCAAUGACUCCUAAAUAAAAAUAAAAAUAUUUAUCCAACACUUCUUUGGGGCGAAUUGUACACACCCUUUCACCAACUGCACAGGGCUCCAAUAUAACAUCCUCUUCAUUUACAGUAUAAGAGAUUAAAGUAGUGGAAUGCAGCUUUGAGAUGUAGUUUUCGUCAAUAAUAUUAUAGUUGUAAGUCAAUACCUAUUUAUCUAUCAUAGAUCUUAUUGCUACCAUCUGAAUAUCCAAAAAAUCAAGGGAGGAAGACUCCAAAUCAGUGAUACUAGUGGGUGAAGGGAUUUCUCCAUAAACUUCUCUAAUAAUUCGGUCAAAAUCCUCUCUAUUCAAAUAACCCUCACACUCUCGCAUACAGACAUUCCAAAUCAUAUUCCUAUCACUAGCAGUAGGAACGAUUGAAUAUGAAGACAUAAUAAUAAAAAAGAAAAAGAAGCAGAAAAGUAAAGUUACCUUAAGUCUGAAGAAAGGAAGAUCAAAUAGUAGACGCUCAUGGGGAAAGUUGUUUGGGAAAGAUAUUUGAAUAAAAGUAAAAAAGAAAUAAAGUUUUAACGGUCAAGAAUUUAUAUCAAAUUGUAAUAAGAAGUGGGAGUUCCCAUAAAAGACAUCAUAAAGAGAGAGAGAGAGGGAGGGAGAGAGAGAGAGAGAGAGAGAGAGAGAGAGAGAGAGAGAUUUGUCAUCAUUAAAGUAGCUGGUGAAAGUUGAGCAUUACAGGAUGAGAAGAUCGGGGAAAGCCUUGACUCUAUGAAGAAAGGAAAUUUUUGUGCUUUCUUUUUCUGAACAUUUCAACCUUUCAGAUCUCAUGUUUGGGGGCUUAUGUACAUUCUGGAAAAUUAGUUUGACCAGCCGGGAUAUAAGAUCGAAGGAUCAUUCAUGUACAUACGAGAGUUCCUUGAGGUCGAGUUGGUGCGAUAGUCGAGUAUGUUUCAUAUUAGCAUAUCGGUAGUCGUUUUAUACCUCCUAGUGGGAAUCCGGUUAGGGUAUCAAAAUAAGCAAGACGGAGUUGACCUCGUAUAAGACGGUAAUGAUCUGAUUAGUACAAGUCGGAUCUGAUGACAAGGCUAAAAUGUCAUUUGAAAGUUCGUAAGAAACAGUUAUAGGAUGAUACUUAUGAUAUGGGAGUUAUAAUUACUAAAGAGGCAUACAUUACAUGGCAAUUAUAGUGACGGCGGAUGUUACUAGCAGAUGCAUUUAUCAAGAAUAUGGAGAGUCGAGCGAGGGGGAAGUAGAAGGAAUUAAGACCUAUAAAUAGGGGAACGUUUGGAGAAUGAAGGCAAGCAAAAAAUGAGAUAAGCAAUACAUAACAAGACACUCCAACUAGUCAUUUUAGGCUCUCUUUGACUGAAAACAAUGAAGUGAACCUUUUAGUAUUUUUUAGCAAGAACAAUUACUAUCAAACUCACUUUUCCUUUGAUUUUUAUGGUCAGAACAUCUACCAGUCCAUGCAUUUGUGACUAAGAAUCUUCCUCCUGAGAUAGAUAACGCCUCCUCACCAUCUCAACUCAAAGAAUAUGCCAAAAAUAAUAUUUUUUAUUUCAUGACUAAGAUUAUAAAAAGGAAACUCUCAUAUGGUACUCCUUACUUCCCAGACACACCUUUUCUUCUACCAUUCAUGAUAAACUCAAAUUUUAAAUUUACAAAAAAACCAUUUAUGAUAUAUUUGGUGUGAAACCAGACUAUAUAUUAUGUAUGUCAUUGUCCCAACUAAAGUCAUGUGUAACCACAUAAUGGAUCCUAAGAAUUAUAAGUCUUUAAUCUGGACUACUCUUGAAUGGUAUUUCCAUUGGAAUAGUGGAGAAAUCAAUUAAAACUAGACGAAGUCAAGGAAAUAAGAUUAGCCCUGGAAGCCGUUGGCAAACUCAAGACUAUUUUCUUCCUACACAAGCCAUAUCAGAUAGAUCUCAUAACUAAACUCCUUAUUAAAACUAGACGAAGUCAAGGAAAUAAGAUUAGCCCUGGAAGCCGUUGGCAAACUCAAGACUAUUUUCUUCCUACACAAGCCAUAUCAGAUAGAUCUCAUAACUAAACUCCUUAUUUGUAAGAAUUAUGUUAAUCUAUGGGAAACUAUUAAUGAUUAUCCUCAGUUUAAAAGUUACAAAAGAGUUAAUGGAUUAUAUCAACUUCAUCGAUCUCUAUGGUCAAGGAAAAAUCAGAGUUGGUACGAUAUGCAUAAGUCAUGAAAGGACUAGGAUACAAAAAAUUGGAGAAAGCUCGGGUCAGGCUCAUCAACAGAAACAAGAUUCUCUCGUGGAAGACGAGUCAUCAGAAGGACGUGUGCGAGAAACCCAAUGCAAAAUGUUGGAUGACACGUGGCAGUAUGAGUCACCUCCUUAUCCGGGUUACUUUAAAGACUGAUUUAAAGGUGUCACUCAUUUGUAAAAAGCAUUUCAAUAAUGCUUAUGAUGGCAUGCUUGUAAACAGUGUCUUUCUUUUCUUUUGUGUAUCUCCUUAACUAUAAAAGGGGACGUCUUAUAUCACUUUGAGGCAGAAGCAAUAAAGAAUAAAACUCGUACGGAAAUGCAAGUAUGUUCUACAUUUUCCUCAAAAAUGAGGAUUUUGAUUCAUGUUACGGUUCUCACUAUUAUAGGAUGUCAAUUUGAAUUGAUAGUCUAUGUUUGAGACUUUGUUAUGUCUAUGGUUGAUUGUUUGUUGUCUCACUUGACAAUAGCGUUAGUUUCAUAGUAUAUAGAAAUCGUAAAAGAGAAAACUACUUAAAAAAAAAAAGUGAAAAUAAUUUUAUAAAUCAUGUGUUCCUUAAAUCCUACAACCAACCAUAUUAUAAUUAUUGUACUGUAUAUUGAAUCUUAGCGGAUUAGGCGUCCGUCAAGUCCAAGCGUUUUCAAAAGGAAAGAAACAAUUAAAGUCUGCAUUAAGAAUUGCUUGUGACACAAGACCUAACCCUGUCUCUAGAGCUCUAAAAAUAAAUUUUACAAAAAUAAUUUAUUAACGAAACAGUUCGUUUUGAGAGUAGUGAAUUUACAGACUUACGAAUCUAAUCGAACCACUGCAUCUUUCUUCAAACUGCUGUGGCAAAUCAUGAUGAUGAAUUGUCAUCGCCCAAUCCCUAGAUCAAGUUCAAACUUAUAAUUGAUUAUCCAUUCAUGUAUUAAGAUUACCUUCGUUCAGAAAAGUAAGUAAGCCGAACAAUUGCUUAAGCAAAAGAGAUUCAUUCAUACACAGAAGGAUUCAUUUGAUUUAAAAGAAAGUUUCACACUAAUUCAGACCUAACACUAACAGAAAUAAUCUUAGAAUAACCAUUACAAAGUACAAAGCAAAUUAUACAUAAUUCAAGCACUUGUAAACUUAGUCACAGCUUUGGUUCCCUCUGAAACAGCAUGCUUAGCCAAUUCCCCAGGCAGAACAAGCCUGACUGCCGUCUGAAUUUCCCUAGAUGUUAUUGUCGGCUUCUUGUUGUACCUUGCAAGUCUGGAAGAUUCAGCAGCAAGCUUCUCGAAGAUGUCGUUGAUGAAGCUGUUCAUGAUUCCCAUGGCCUUGCUUGAGAUACCGAUGUCAGGGUGAACCUGCUUCAUCAGCAGCAAGCUUCUCGAAGAUGUCGUUGAUGAAGCUGUUCAUGAUUCCCAUGGCCUUGCUUGAGAUACCGAUGUCAGGGUGAACCUGCUUCAGAACUUUGAAGAUGUAGAUCUUGUAUGUCUCCACACUCUUCUUAUUUCUCUUCUUCUUCUUGUCUCCGGCGGCGGCACCGGCUUCCUUGGGAAGCUUCUUUCCGGCCUUGGGUUUCUUCUCGGCAGGAGCCUUCUCGGCCACCGUAGACUUCUUCUCUUCGACGGGUUUCUUCUCAGCAGGCUUCUUCUCUCCCUUUGGCGCCAUUACAAGAAUUGAGAAAUUUAGGGUUUCGAAUUGGAAAUUGGAUAUUAAAACUGAAACGAGAUGAUGAAUGCAAAGGUUGCGGUAGUUUAUAUGUAUAAGAAGAUUCUAUAGUUGCUAUUGGCUAAAAUGGUUAUUCGCGGAUUGUUGACGUGGAACACUUUUAAGCCGUUGUACUAGUUUUAAUAGAAUAUGACAAUCAACGGUCACAAUCUUGCUUUAACUCAACGAUGAUGAUGGUGCUGUGUGGGUGACUGGAUUACAUACUUUUAAUUUAUUUUGUUCCAACAAAACUCUCCUAGAUACUUAUUGCUAAAAUAAAAUAUACUCCGUAUUUAAUUAUCAUUUAGAUUAUUAUAAAGAUAUUUUAUGAAAUAUUAUAAAAAGAUUCAUCUACACAUUUAUAAAUUUUUACCACAAGUUAAAUUAAACUUUUAUUUUUAUUUUUAAACUCGUUUUUAAAAUAAAAAAACAGUUUGCAUCAAUCUAAACCCACUUUAAAAAAUCAUGUAAAAUUUUAAGUUGUCUUAGUCCAGUGAAGGAAUGAAGGUCACAAACAUUAUUUCUUUAGGGUACUUACCAUACAAAUAGUUUUAAUAUAAUGAAAUCUAAGAUAAAUCUUCAUUAGAAUGGCACAUAAUCAAAGCUUCAAAAAAUUCCGGAUCGUCAACACCUAUAAGCAGUAUAAGAUUUUAGGUCUCUAAAAAUUAUAUAACUACUAUAAAAGACUAAUGAAUGCCUUACAUUUAAUUACACAUUAUUUUAAUCAUAAAUACCUCACACUUUCAAUUGUCACUCAUUUGACGACAUUUUGUGUUUGCAAGUACCCCCCACCCCACCCCACCCAUCCACCCACACACACACCGGUAUAAAGCAUCAAGAUAGUAAAUCACCUAUCGGAGUUCACAAUUAGAUGUCAAUUCAUCGCCUCGCUCAUGAACUAGAUAGGUCUUUUCGAGAAUAAUUGGUGUCGUCUAUGGAAACUGACUUUCAACGUUUCCACAAUACUCGAUAAUAAGAUUCAUUGCUGACCAAAGGGAGAAAGACUGCAUCAACGUCAGUGACAAUGCCAUACCAUUUUCUAUUCAUUGAAAUCAUCAAAAUUGCUCCAAAAUUACAUAUGAACAUAUAAUAUUUCAGUCAUCUUAAUGAGUGUCAAUUCACUUACCUUCACCGCCAGCGGUUUCAACAUUUCCUUCAUUAGUCGAAGGCAUUAUGUUGUUGAUGAUCUUGUUAUCAAAUGAAGGAAUUCAACAAUCACCCCUAAAUAUAUCGGUAAAAGGUAAUACUUUGCCAUUAUCCACCCCCUCAAUCCUCGACGGUCUCUUGGUUGUCGCUUAGAGAUGGUCAAUGUCUUUGGAGGAACAUAAUGAAAGGCUUUAACGGAUUAAAGUGACCAGUCUCAGCAACCAAAGUCCCAUGAAGGACAAUAUAGGGUUUGAUAAGAGUCAAUAACGAAACACUGACUUUCUACAAUAAGGAUCUAGAGGAAUCAUCAUGUCCUCACGGCCCUAGAUCCCACUCCCUAAAACUAAGGAAACGUUUAUCGCUUAGUCCCAAAGACCAUAAUCUUUGUUACAUCCAGCACCAUGGGAAUUUACCACCAUCUUCCUUUUUAUAAGAAAUUGGGGACAAUGAGGACGCUCCUAAAAGUGAUGUUUUCCCCGUAGAAUAAACGAACACCCCUUAUCUUUUGACUUUGUUGUAUUUUGUUGCUUUUUCAUCUAUAUUUUUAUUUUGUUGCAUAAUUACUUGUUUGUUUUUCCAAAAUGUUUUCAAACUCUGUUUUUCCAAAUGAUUUUGUUUUCAACCAAUGUUUUACAAACAUCCACAGUCCCCCUUGUAAGACCCCAAUUUUGAUCCUAAGAUCCAUCAUGUUAUUAUCAUCAUAUGCAUUGGCAUUGGGAUCACACUUUGGCAUCCUCAUUACCCCUCAUUCAUUGGGUUUACAUUGGGAGAGAUCAUCAAGCACCAUGUGAUUGUAUCAUAUUUUCUUAUAAUUUACUAACCAAAAUACCAAAAAUAUGUCUUUGUAUAAUCUAAUUCUUUUGUAGGUAGGGCACAUGCUCACCUUUGAUCUAUCAAGCUCACAUCUAGGGUUUAAGACCCUCAUUGCAAUGAGCUCAAUCAAGAUUUGGUUUAAUAUGGAUCUAAGUAUUAUAUAUGAAUCCCCAUGAUCUUCACAUUUUAUUUUGAUCAAGAAAUCAUCAAGAGUUUGGAGUUGGUUUGCCUUGGAAACCCUAAUUCAUCUGGGUAUUUUGUGUGACUUCUUCAACACGUUUCUUCACCAGUUGAUCAAAUAUUUCAAGUUAUACUUCAAAUUUCAUCAUCUUAUGCAUGUAUGAUCCUCCGUGAGUCUUAAAAGUCAAGAGAAUGUCAAGCUAGCAAGUUGGUUCAUGGUAGUUGACCAGAGGAAUUCAACUGAUCAAAAUUGGGGUUCCCUAGACCCUAUCUCCUAAACUUUUUGUCAUAUGAAAAUGAUUCCAAGACAAACGUUACUCUAAAUGACAUUACAAAAAACUUUCAUGUUAAGGUCUAGAGCUAGUUUUGCUUCGAAAAUCAUUUUUUAUGGUGAAAGAUUAUAGGUCAUUUUGUCUAAACCCUAAUUUGGAAGUCAACUCCCAAGACCAUAACUUGCUCAAUUUUUAUGAUAUAAAAGCUAUUCAAUUUUCACAAUCAAAUUCAAGAUGUCUACUUCAACUUAGAUGUUUGGAGGAAGAGAAAAUUCAACUUUUAAAUGCAUGUGAUAUGAGGAGAGAUUAUAGGUCAUUUUGGGCCAAUACCAUUGAACAAGUGAUUUUCCUCAACUUCUAAAAUGUAUAACUCCUUCAUACUAAAUCCAAAUGAGGUCAAAUUUGUAACCAAUUUUAAGGACUUUGAGAGAGUUACAACUUUUAUUAAGGAAAGUUUCUCAUUUGAAGUCCAUAGAAAAAGUUACCCAAGGUGGAAGAAGUGAACAUAUGGCUUGGUACUUAGAAUUUUUUUUGAUAUGUUUGAUUUUCCAAACUUCCACCUCAAAAUUCAUCAUUAUCCAAGUUUCAAAUGAAAAAGUGUUUAACAUAAAAGUUGUUCCUCUUGAUCUAACCUUUCUAAAAAAGUCCAACUUCAUCCCAUUUGGACAAAGUAUAAGUGACUUGCGCAUGGCUUAAAGUUGGAUGACCAUUUGGCAUAAUUGAACUCCCAUCUUCCAUACACAAAUGCAUGGCUUGUUAACAUGACUUCAGCAUUGCUUACACAUGAUUUUGGACCUAAGUGAAUCAUUACAUGGGCCUACCACACGCCCAUGCAUCCAUGCAAAGUGAAAUUGCUAUUUUUGAAAGUUUGAAACAAGUGUGCAAAUAACAAUGCUUUGGCUAUAAAUAGAAGCUCAAUCACUCAGAAUUGAGGACCCUUGCGCGCCAGCUUUGAAUCCCUAGCCCUAAACACCUUCAUUCAUAGGAUAACCUUGAGGAUUUCCAUUAGAAAUCGAGUCUGAAUCUCCACUGUUUUGAGGUUCAAAUCUCCAAGAGUCCUGCUUCUUUCUUGAUUCAUUUCCACUCCAUCAAGCAUCCAGAGCAAGGCUAAGCAUAAUUGAGAGCAAGAUCGUGGCCAUCUGAACCUGUAGUGAAGGUGAUUUUCUCAAUUUUUUAUCUCUUCGAUUCUCACACAAUUCUCCAUAAUUCUUCUUGAUUUUUGGUUGUCUGAAGUCUUACCAAUGUAGGCAAGAAGAUUGAGUUGCUUUGAGGACAAAUCGAAGUAACUCGAAUCAUGAUCCUCAAAAUUCAACUCCCUGUAUCUUUCAAUAUACUUGGACUUAGAUGAAAUUGAGGCCAAAUUCGAGCUCCUGAGCAUUUUUACUUUAAAUUCAUGUCCUCCUUUUUUAUUUUACUCAUGGUCGAAGGUGGUAUCUCAAACCAUAGGAUCAUCUUAUUUUGUUUUAAUCUCACACGUUGGUUUUGAUUACCGUCCCUGCAAUGCAUUGACUUAGGUCCAUCAUGGAACGCGCGUUGGGAUCCACUUGAUCUGCCACCUCAAUUAAUGAGGGAGAUCAAGUGGUCCACGUAUUUUAGCAUUUUCUGAUUUUUAGUUUAAUUGCUUUAUUUUCAUUAAUUCAUAUUAAUUUUAAUAUUGAUCCAAAUCUCAAUUAAUGAGGGAGAUCAAGUGGUCCACGUAUUUUAGCAUUUUCUGAUUUUUAGUUUAAUUGCUUUAUUUUCAUUAAUUCAUAUUAAUUUUAAUAUUGAUCCAAAAAAUAUGAGACUUUCACCACAAAAUUUCAAAUAAAUUCCUCUUUCAUUUUCUGAAUUAAAAUUGUUUUUUGGAUCAUUAUUAAAAAUUUUCAUGAUUUAAUUGUUUUUGUACAUAUUUAUAAUUGUUUAAAAAUACUUUUAAGUUUCCAAAAAUGAUGAAUUUUUUCUCCAAGGUCCUUUGACCUUGUUUGACCUAUGAUAAACCUCAUGGUCAUUUAUUUGGUGUUUUGAUGGGGUUUUAGGAUUUUGACCAACCAUUAUUUAAUUUAAUGCAUUUUAUAAUUGAUUUUAAUUGUUUAAUUGCAAAUAAGUUGUGUUGGGCUAUUUGUGUUGACUUGUUGAGUUUGACUAUUGUUGUUGGGUCUUAGUCAAAGUUGAUUUGACUUUGUUGAGUUAAAAUAAUUGGAUUUAGGGGAUUGAUGAAAUGUACAUUUCAUCUCCCAAAAUGAAUUAAUGAUAUUAAUUUGAUAAAAGUCAUCCUUUGACCAAUUUGUGUUGAUUUCGUUUCCCCUCCCUCUUCAUCUCAAUCCUAUUAUAUUCUCAUUCAUUUCUUUGACCUAUGAUAUCUCUAUAUCCUAAGGCUAGUGGAUUGUAAAAUCAACAUAAGUAUGUAUGAGAUUAGGUCCACCCAUUUUGCCACUUUCUUUUAAGUGUGGUAUGUUUUACGAGUAUGGUUCAUAAUAUCAUAUCUCUAACAUGCAUUAACACUAAAAUUUCUAUUGAUCGGCCUCAAAUAGUUAUGACUUCUACAUAAGUCCAAUUACGAUUGUUUAACAUAGCGCUAAAUUUUGACUCAUAAGCAUAGCAUUCUAGUAAGUGAGAUUGUAAGUCUCCCCCCUUUCAUGGUAUUAUGUAGAAACUUUGCCUUUUUUCCUUCCUUUGGAAGAUGUCUUGGUUCAAGGAUCUAUGCUUGUGAAUAGAGGGUUGAGUGUUCUCCAAAGAAUGACUUAAACAUUGAAAAGCAAAAGCAAUAUUAACUUCUAAUCAAAUAAGAUUCAACUAACAUUUAAUUUCAAGCACUUUACUUUUAUGCACUUUAAAUUCAAGUCUUUACUCAUUUGCCAUUAUUCAUACCAUUUAACUUGUUUAUUUUAAUGUCAUUUUCACUUUGCUCACUUGAGCUUUAUUUUGUGAUUAUAUUGUGAUUGUAUAUACUUGUUUGUGUAUUUUGUUUGGUUAUGCGGUCUUUUGACCUUAAUGUACAUAAUAACAACAAAAACUCUAAAAAAAGAUUUGUGUGGACUGUUGGUUUUGUUCUGAGACAUUGGACUUAGAAUUAGGCAACAUUCCAUAUGCAAAAGGACUUGGCCAAUGCCAACUUUUCUGAAACCAAGUGCCUGUGAAGUUAACUUUCAUCUGAAGCAAGUAUUGAGAUCCCACUUGAGUUCAUCUGCUACAUGGUCUUAUUAUAGAUGUUACUUUGAACCUAUGACUAAUGCCUAUCUCUGAGCCAUUCAAGAAGUAUGUCAUCUGGUGCAUGGGAGAUUAUGAAGAAGAUCAUGAAGUUGCUAAGCUUGGAUGUGGCUAUCUUUAUUUGAUGUCUUUCUCUUUAUCUUGCUAUUUGUGUAUUGAUAUUGCUUGAUUCUAAAGUCCAAGGGAAAUUUGGGUUUCUAUAUGACAUUCUUGUCUAUUGGAUUGCAGCCCAUUGGUCAAAUCUUUUUAACUCUUAACUUUUAAAUUUUUGUUUAGGAGUAGUUGUAACACCCCGAUGAAAUUAAGAUAAUUGUUUAAAUUAAGUUAAUAUUUUAUUUAUUAAUUUAAUUAAAUAAUUAGAAAAUUAUUGGAUUAUUAAUAUUAUUAUUGGGAUAAUAUUAUUGGGUUGGGGGGGAGGGGGAAAAAAAAAGGAGGGAAAAAUUGGCUUCCCCUACUUUUCCCCAAAUAAAACUGCUCGUUACCUGAAAACAGUUGUAAGGGUGAGUUCCCUCAAUCAAUAUAAUGAGUAUUAUAAAAAUAUCAUGUAUGUUAAGUGAUUCACACACUUCAUCACCUAAUCAAAACACACAUUCAGGAACAAAUAUUAAUUCAAAUCAUACUCAAAUAACAGCACAACAAUACCAACACAAACACACGUGAAUAUUGGAAUACAUCCAUUCAAUAUUACACGCUAUACAUAUUUAUGCAUGAGACUCCAUGCAUGCGGUACCGACUAUUGUGACAUAGUUCAACUCACCGUCCAAUCCGGCACGGCUACCAAGCUCACUAGUCCCUCAUUUGGACAUAGUGACUCUCACUAAUUCCUCACCAUGGGAUUAGCUACCACCCCAAAUGGCCAUGCUAUGCACGCUAUCACCUAGCAUGCAAACAUCAAAACAAAUCACAAUGAUUUACUCACUAAUUCCUCACCAUGGGAAUUACACACAUAAGCGCACAAUAUGCAUGCUAUCACUAGCAAUGCACAUCAACAACAUUUAAGAUAACACUGCUCACACUCUAAGCCAUAAAUAGUCUAUUAAAUGCAUAACAUUCACAUCAUUCAUGGUAUACCAUCACAUAUCAUCAACAAACGCAUAUCAUAUCAUGCACAUAAUAAAUCAUAGUAUAGCACACUCUACUAAUACCUAUACUAUUCAAACAAGGGAAUUGAUCCCUAAACAUCAUACCUCAGUAAGUACAUCCACUCAGCCUAAAAACCAAAAACUGCAUAACAUUGUUUCAGGAAAAUCACAAUCUGCCAUACGCGUAUUCCUAUGCCCUACGCGUAUUGCCCAACUGACCAAGUCCUACGCGUAAUGCCCACGCCCAUUACGCGUAUGCUAGCGUACCACUCCUCAUACGCGUACCAACAGAGACACUUUACGUUCAAACAUCAUCUCUUUCACUCUACGCGUAGGCCUCAUCCAUACGCGUACCAGCUCAUCUCAUACGCGUAUUGCUAGUGCCAUACGCGUCAUGACCAGAAACCAGAAUUUCCGAUCUGCGUGGCUUUCUCUGCUACGAGAUCUAUCCAAUUCAACUUCUACGUCCAAAUUUUACACGCAAUUCAUUAUAUCAUCUAACACGAAUCAGACACUUUUCGAUUUCACAAAUUGCCAACCUUUCUACUUAAUUCCUACGAAUUUUCAUCAUUAUCAUCCAAUUCGUUCAUCAUAUUUCACAGUUCAUCAAUAUCAUUUCAAUCGAGUCAAAUUCGCAGGUUCAUCACUCCAUUACAUGCUAUCCAUAAGACCAUCAAACGAUGAUAAACCCCCUUACCUGAGUAAAUCCGGCAAUUCCGUUAGCUUCAAGCUUUUCCUCUUCUCUUGCUCUGCCUCUUUUCCUUUCUCUUUCAAGCCGCUCUUUUCCUUUUUCACUUAGUCAAGAACGCUUCACCAUGAGGACUUUUUAUUAUUCAACUUAUAUACUGCAAUAAUAAAAANCAACUGUUUAUUUGAUUAAAUAAAGAGCAUGACUGUUAUUUUGGAACAUGGUGUGAAGUGAUCAUGUGACACCCUUAACUGCAUAAUUACUCUGAUGUUGUAUUUUGAUAUUUAAUUAAAUUAUUGGGGUAUUUUAGAAGGGUGUUACAGUAGUCUCUUCAUCUCCUCCCACUUCUUUAAUUUUAAAUCCUUCCCUCAUUUUAAAAUCUUCUUUGUUUGUGUUUUCUAAACUUAGACUUUAUUGCAAAUUAGAAACUUUGGCCUUAUGCCAUUGCAUUUUUAAACUCUUUUCUUAAUCAAACUUGUAAAUGAAUCUCACUAUAUUGACUUAAAAUUUCAAAAGACAAAAAGAACUAACACUCAUUCAAACCUUUUUAGACCUUUUGUGCCUUUGCUAACCUUAAAUUUUUGUUAAAAGCAAUGCACUCACUUUGAAAUUGUUACCACGAACUACGAGGUUUUGAUCCCUCAUUUUAUGUUGGUACGUAGGCACAAGUCCGAAGGUCUUGUCAAACACAAAUAUAAUUAAUGAAUUCUUUUCUCAUCCCUCCACUCUAUUUAUUGCAAACAUCAUUUUGUACAAACACACAUAUUCACACAAAAAAGGACUCCCUAUGAGUACCUAGGACACUUUGAAUGCUAAUACCUUCCCUCUGUGUAACCAACCCCCUUACCUGUAACCUCUGGCAUUUUAUUAGUUUUGAUUUGAAAACUUCUUAUCUUUGGGUUUUGUUCGUACUUUUCCCUUUUCCCUUGGAAACAAUAAAAGCGUGGUGGCGACUCUGGUUUUAUUGAAGUUAAGUUUAUCCAUAGAUUAAUGAUCAUGAAUUUAUCGCUACGCCCCCCCCCCCCUUCUUGUUUAUGGAGUCAUAUGUCCAAUAAGUGGAAUAAUAGUCUAACUCAUGUUUAAAUACUAAUCAUCUAGAGAGGAAGAUAACUUCAAACACUUAUUUUAACAAGAGGAUUUUCCUUAACGCACCUUCAUCGUUUAAUGGUGAUGGGUUUGUUAUAUGGAAAGUUGGAUUUAAAAUGUUCAUUAAAAUAUAUAAUAUUGUAUUUGUGGGAAACGAUAGUCAAUGGUCUGUUUAUUUUUGCUCACUAUGUUAACAGUGAAGUAGUAUAUAAACUUGGUUUCCUUUUGACUAAAAAAGACAAGACAAAUUUCAAAGAUAAAAAAGUUUUAGUUAUCACUUUGUAACACCUCGUAUAAUAUACAUCUAGAAAAUACAUUAUACACAAUGUUAAUUACUAGUGACACACCACAAGUGUCUAACGGCAUCACUAUAUAUACACAUGUCUAAAAGAAAAUAGAAUUAUGACACAUGUUAUACAUGGGUGCCUAAUUAAAAACAAAGAUCUAUGUACAAUAUUUAUAUUUCACAUAAUCCACAACGGAAGAUCACGAUAACGAAAGUCUUCGAAAUAUCAUCAUACAAAGUCAUAAUUAUACUUGUGUAAUUUACCACAAUAGAACAAUGACUUAAGCAUCUAAGGGAAUUUACACGUUGUAUGGAAAACACACAACACAAGUUCACAUAAACUCAAAGAAUCACUAUUCAGAAGCAAGAAACAUUGUUCCCCAACCGGACCUACGUUUAGGGAAAGGCUCGGCUCACACAUGUUCGUAUGAUUCGACUUUCUUGUGAAUUCAGGUUUUCCAUGGGACUCGAAUCCACUUCAAGAACUAUCACUCAUAUGGGACUUGAACCCACUUAGAUUAUCUUUUGCAGUAUGGGACUAGAACCCACUUAGGCGUCCACCCCUCCUCCAUGGACUCAAUCCAUAGUUGGGACUCAAACCCAUUGUGAGGCAUGAGCCUAAUCCCAAUUCUACUUUACAUAAGCAUCUCAAUUGGGAUGUGCAUGAUCAAGGGAAAUUUUUGAAUAUGUGAAUAGUUCUCAACAAUCACCACAUGAUUAUUCUUAUCAGACACUAUGCAAUUAUAUCACAAUCACCAUGGGUUGAUAUCAUAAUUACCAUAUGAUUUUAUCACAAUCACAUUAUAUUACAAUGUGUUUCCAUACAAGCUAGUUCAAUUUGCAAUUGGAUCAUCGUUAACCAUCCAUACCAUAUGGCACAUUUUAUAAAUGGAACGGUCCAUCUCUAGCAACUACUCGUUCAUGGAUGCGCAUCGAUGCACCUCUUACAUUCGAGCAUUGCAACCUAAGUUAUUUACCAUAACCUAAGUUAUCUUUUAUUAAUUCAUUCACCUAAUUACAAACCUAGGUCUAACCUCGCUUUUUAUCAUAUAUUUUAAUCAAUUAUUAUACAAUCAACACGAGUAAACAAUUUGUAGUAUAAUUCAUAAUACACAUGUGUUAACUCAUAUACAUACACAUCACAACAUGAUACAUGAAAUACACAUAAUAGUUCAUCACUAAUUAGGACUUUCGGAAUAAAGUCUCUUCACCAAUAUCCAAACAAUAACAUUUGGCAUUCAUAUAAUAUUUCCUCACAAAUUUUUCACUUAACUUAUUACAUAAACAUUAGGCGAAGCUUUCACGCAACUUGCUUUGACCUAAAUAAUACCACCUACACACCACAUAGUAAGUGUAUGUUUGAUCAUCCUAUGGUGGGGAUUACCCCGAUCGGACGGGGAAAUUUGAGUGGGAUAAGAACAUAGAAAUUCCAUUAUUUUAUAUCCCUUUGUGUUAUUUGACCGUGUCUCAUUCCGAAUUACGUCACAAACAAUGUCACGGAAAAAAACCACAAGACUAUCAGGCUAGCUAGGCGAGCCAACAUCUCACUGAGCGAGAGUGGGACAAAAAUGUAGUUGCAUGUCUCUACUUCACUCAGGGAGAGCUUCUAUCCAGUUAUUUUUUUGCUUGUCUUCUCGCUUUCAUUUUUGUUUUUAUUUCGGUUUGUGUAGUCUCCUUCAUUAUUGCAUUUCUUGUAAUCGAAUUUUGAUUUGAUUCGAUUUUAGCAUGCAUAAAACUUUGGUUAGAUUUGAUCUUGAUCUAAAAGUUCUUUGAUCAAUAUCAUAUGUUAGUGGAAUGAAAUAAUUUUGUGUUUUGGUUAAACUUUGAUAGAAAACUAAAAUCUCAAAAUGCUUUUGAAAUUUUGAGAUUUUGAGAUUUUACAAGAUUGAUUCGAAUCAUUCAGUUUUAUACUGAAUUUUUCAUCCUAAUCAAAUUGGACAGAAGUGAAACUCAAUAAUUUGAUUCUGAUCAAAUUUUACACUUGAUCCUGAUCAUUUUCCUGGGGACAAAUUCUAUUUGAUUUAAUUCGAAUCAAUAUUUGUACAUGAUUCAAAUCAAAGAGAUACUAUAUUGUAAAGCAAAUAAUAUUACACAUGUUCCAAGAGAGAGAAAAAACAUAUAUGAAAGCGUUUUGUUGAAGCUGGAAAGUACAAUAGUGACAAACGACAACCACUAUUUAAUAUAAGAGACACUUGAUAAACCAAGUCUCUUCAACAAAUUUGCAUUUCUCCUUCAUUAAUGUAUCACCUUGACAACAGGAAUGACAAUUUUUUCAUGGAUCACAUUAAAAAUUAAGAACGUACUUUGCCAGUAGUCCAUGUCAAAGCCAGCCUAGUGAAGAUAAUAGAAUGAUUAUACACUAUUAUAGUGGAAAUUAUACAUAAGAGGUCCCUCCCCCUAUUAAUUGUGGAUGUAAAUUACUUCACCAAAUGGAUCGACGUUGAGACCUUAGCAAAGAUCACAACCACCGUCAUUCCGAAACUCACAAUGUGAUACCUUCUCACCAAAGAGCUUUAUUAUCUCCUCCUUAGUGUAUGCCUCAAUUUUAAAAUGGGUUUCAAUAUAACACUUUUUAUUCAUGGGAAGAUCAACGCCUUUAGGGUCCACGUCUUAUUUUAGAAUUUCGUAAGGGUCUUCUUCAAAAACACUUCCUCAUCAGAUAAGUCAAUGCUCUUGUAUAUGUACGUCUUAAUACUCAUCAGAAGAUGAUGCUGCCUCCAAAACUUUGAGCAUAUAUUUAUGCAUAACGGGGGAAAUAAAAGUUCAAUGAGGUGAAGGAGAGAACCUCGGAGAAUACUCAUCGUUGUUGAAGGCCUCUGUCGUGAUUUCACAAAAACUUCGGUGAGUUGUACGGUUAAGGGGUGCAAAAAAUUAAUAUACUAACUUAAACCUUCUGACUAUAUAUAAUAUAGUAUAUAAUUAUAUAUAUUACUUAAUAUAUUAUAUUAUAUAUAUAUAUAUAAUAUAUAUAUAUAAUAUAUAUAUAUAUAUAAUAUAUAAUUAUAUAUAUAUAUAUAUAUAUUUAUAAUAUAUAUUUAAGGAUUAAUUACUAUGCAUUGUGAAUGUAAAAAUUACACCGUCGAUCUUCAUCAUCAUCUGUUUGCUUUACUUUAUAAUUUUUAAAAUAAAAGUCAAAUUUAUUUCAAUAUCCAACGUUUAAGAUUAACUGACUGUGUAAAAUCUUUUUACACUGUAAGUGUAUUUCAUUAAAUUAUAUUUAUAUUAUAUAUUAUAUAUAUUAUUAUAAUAUAUAUAUAUAUAUAUAUGGAUUAAUUACUAUGCACUGUCAGUGUAAAAAAAUUUACACCGUCGAUUCAUCACCAUCAUCCAUUUGCUUUACUUUAUAAAUAAAAGUCAAACUUAUUUCAAUAUCUUUCGACCUUGUUUGAAAGAGAUUAGUCCUUCGGGGAGAUCAUGGUUAUUAGAUGUUCUCAAUACACGAAUAAAUUGAAGAAGAAAAAUGUUAGCGUAUGAAUGUUAUUCUUUUUUUAUAUUCACACAAAUGUUUAAAAUCUUUUACAUAGGCCUAACUCAAAGGAUCCUUAUAUGAGAGAGAUAUCAUCAAAUGGUUUAGAAUUCCAAAUUCAAGGUCAUUAAAGGUAAGGUCGAACCACAUUAUAGAGAACGAGCAUUCGUGUAGAGGUAGUCCAUACAUUACAUAUUGGCUACAUUGUCGCUUACCAUUUUUGGUGUGGAUUAGUUGACAUUCUGAAGACGGGCCAACAUCUCAGUGAGCAAGAUCUAUUAUAUCUUCAUUUGUGUACUAGGACAGAGUCCUCAAGAUUUCUUCGUCUACCUAGAAAUAUUAACCACCAUCCUCGAGAAGAUCAAGAGUCAACUACAUCUUUCUCCCCAUGUUUGUUUCACUGUCAAUAAAUACAAAAUGCCUAACGUGAGUAUUACACCUUGUUAUUCUUCUAACCACUUAUUAAUCUCACCCUCAGUAACCUAGUGAAUGAACAAAUGUCAUAUACACCUAGUAACACUUUGAUUUCCUCGUUCCUCCCUAAGAUUCCCCAAAAAUGUGAGAGCAGUCAUCGGAAUUUCACCAAAGGUAAACACAACACCAACAUUCCUCUACUAUAUCUUAGUAGGGACAGGUUGUCUACUUUCUACAUUAAUCACUCCUAGGUUCGUCGGCUAUGGUUCUAUCACUUCUAGAUUAAUCACCUCUACAUUAGUUCAAGAUGAUGCAUCACUAAUCUCUACGUUGCUCCUAAGAUUGAUAAAGGGAUUCUAUAGUUCUAAGUUUUCUAAAUGGACCAUUAGUGAGAGACUAACCAAAAUCAAAGAACAAAAAGAUAUAAGAAAAUAUGUACAUUUUGCUUUAGUGUAAGUUCUUAAGAUUUAAGAGGGAAGCAAUUUGAUUCAAAUCAAAAGAUUCGGACCCUAAGAAACUUCAACAACAAUGGCAAAAAUCACAAUAAAAAGAAGAGAGAAGUCAUAUAUUGAAGAGUAAAUGCAGUCUAAAAAAUGAAUUUAAAUCCUAAAUUCCCAAAUAAUAAACAUUGAAAGCACCAACAUCAACCGUCUUGAUUCAACAACACAUACCAUCAUCCAAAUUUAUAUAUCCCUCGUUUAUAAAACAUACAUUCAUUCAAAUUUAAGAAAAUGCUCAAAUAUCAAAUUUCACAUCCAAAUCUCAAACAAGGUUGGGGGUAACAUUUCCCAAAUCCCUUCCUCCUGCAGAAAGAAAGUUAUAGGCAGAGGGGACUUCAUUAUGCAUAUCACUUUACAAGGAUUUGGACAUUGUUAAUUGCUAAGAAAAGCACAACGAUGACUACAUGUGUUCCAAGUUUUACUCAAAUAAAUGACACUUAAUCAUGUCUUGUUCAUUUCAAACAUAUUCCUUUUUAUUCUGCAACAUCAAAGUUAAUUAAGUCUAAUUCAUUUCCGCAAAACUCUUAGACCCGAAUUGGGCAGUAGAAAAAACGGUAAUUGUGACAAAUCUUUUUUCAAUUCAAAUCUGUACAUAGAAUGCUAAACCAUGAUCAUGCACAAAGAUGUCGUAAGACUUUGAAUUUUGCCCACAUAAUUCAAAACAAACAGGACCAAUCUACAUAAAACCGUGGAAUUUAUAACAUCAAAUUUGCAAACACUAGGUGGAAAUUACUACAAAUCUUCUAUUAAAUUAUCCUUCAUUCAAAUAAUUAAAGCAAUGAGAAGCAAUUUAACAAGACGAAUAUUUGCCCCACUAUGAAGUUAUAAUACUGCAAGUUCUCCUAUAACCAAUAACAGAGAUUAACAAAUUAAUACACAAGGAUUCAUUUGAUUUAAAAAAAGUUACACGCUAAUUCAGACCUAAUGCUAGCAUAGAUAAAUCUAUAAUAACCACUACAAAUCUCAAGCACUUGUAAACUUAGUGACAGCUUUCGUCCCUUCAGAAACAGCAUGCUUAGCCAAUUCUCCAGGCAGAACAAGCCUGACCGCAGUCUGAAUUUCCCUCGAUGUGAUUGUUGGCUUCUUGUUGUACCUUGCAAGUCUGGAAGAUUCAGCAGCAAGCUUCUCGAAGAUGUCGUUGAUGAAGCUGUUCAUGAUUCCCAUGGCCUUGCUUGAGAUACCGAUGUCAGGGUGAACCUGCUUCAGAACUUUGAAGAUAUAGAUCUUGUAUGUCUCCACAUUCUUCUUGUUUCUCUUCUUCUUCUUGUCUCCGGCGGCGGCACCAGCUUCCUUGGGAAGUUUCUUUCCAGCCUUGGGUUUCUUCUCGGCCGGAGACUUCUCGGCCACCGUAGACUUCUUCUCUUCGACAGGUUUCUUCUCAGCGGGCUUCUUCUCUCCCUUUGGCGCCAUUAGAGAAUUGAGAAUUUGAAACUAAAAUAAAAAUAGGGUUUCGAAUUGGGAAUUGGAAAUCAAAUGUGUUAUGAAUAGUGUUGUUGCGGUGAUUUAUAUAUAUAAGAAGGUUGUCGCGUUGCUAUUGGCCAAUGUGGUUAUUUCCGGAUCGUUGACGUGGAACUCUUUUAGCCGUUACACUCAUUUUUAUAAGGACAUGAUAGUCGACGGUCACUAUUGGCUUUAACUCAGCGAUGAUGAGGGUGCUGUGGGUGACUAGGAUGACGUUGAUACAUGCUUAUUAGAUUGCUAAAAUAAAAUAUACUCCGCAUUUAAAGAUAUUUUUAAAAAAAUCAUCUACACAUAUUUAUACAUUUUUAACAUAAGUUAAAUUAAUUUUUUAUUUUUAUUUUUAAACUCUUUUUUUAAAAAAAAAAUAUUUUAUAUCUAUCUAAAUACAUUUAAAAACAAAAUUUUCAUUUUCAUUAGUACAUCGAAGGAAUGAAGAUCACAAACAUAAUUCUUUUAGAGCAUUUAUCCAUAGAAAUAGUUUUACUUCAGUGAAACCUAAGAAUAAGAUAAAUCUGACACAUAAUCAAAGCUUCAAAACACUUAGGAUUGUCAGAUUUAUAUUUGUAAGGAUCAUUCAACAUAUGUCCAGUUAAACAACUAUAGGGAGUAUAAGGUUUUAGGCCUCUAAAAAUCUUAUAACUUUACUAUAAAAGACAAACGAAAGCUUUGCAUUUAGGUACAUACUAGUUUAAUCAUAAAUAUCUCUCACUUUCGAUUGUCACUCACUUGUCAUCGUAGUAUUUGCAGGUACCCCCUUCCUUCAUUGUCUCUGCUCAGGAGCAUCAAGACACUAAAUCAACUACUUGAGUUCAUAAUUAGAUGUCAAUUCACCGCUUCGCUCAUGAACCAAAUAUGUCUUUUCAAGAAUAAUUGGUGUCGUCUAUGGAACUCGACUUUCGAUGUUUCCACAAUACUCGACAACAAGAUUCAUUGGUGAACAAAGGAAGAAAGAUCGCAACAACGUCAGUGACAAGACCACUCCAUUUUCUAUCAAGUGAGAUCAUCAAAACUGCUCCAAACUCACAUACGAACAUACAAUAUUUCAGUCAUCUCAAGGAGCAUCAAUUCACUUACCUCUACCGCUAGCGGUUUCAACAUUUCCUUCUUUAGUCGAAGGCAUAAUGUUGUUGGUGAGAUUGUUAUCAAUUGAAUGAAUUCAACAAUUACCCCUAAAUAUAUUAGUAAGCGACAAUACUCUGCAUUAUCGACCCCUUUGAGCAAUAUAAUGAAAGGCUUUAAUGGAUUGAAGUGUCAGUCUCAACAAGCAAAUCCCCAUGAAGGACCGGAUCGGGUUUGAUAAGAGUCAAUGACGAAACACUUACAUUCAACGAGAAGGAUCUAGAGGAAUCAUCAUGUCCUCUUGACCCUAGAUCCCACUCCCUAAACCCAAGGAACCUUCAUCGUCUAGUCCCAAAGACCAUAAUCUUUGUCACAACCGGCACCACGGGAAUUUUUCACCAACUUCCUUUUUAUAAGAAAUUGGGUAAGGCGAGGAUACUCCUAAAAGGGAAUUUUCCCCCUUAGAACAAAAAUACCCCUUUAUCUCUUGUCUUUAUUAUAUAUUAUUGGUUUUCCAUCUAUCUUUUUAUUUUGUUGCAUAAUUACUUAUUUGUUUCUCCAAAAUAUUACCAAACUCUAUUUUUCCAAAUGAUUUAGUUUUCAACCAAUAUUUUCUAAACCUCCAUAUCUCCCCCUCCCCCUUCUUGUUUAUGAAGUCAUGUGUUCAACAAGUGGAAUCAUAGUCUAACUCAUGUUCAAAGACUAAUCAUCUCUAGAGGAAGAUGACUUCAAACACUUCUUAUAACAAGAUGAAUUUCCUUAACACACCUUCAUCGUUUAAUGGUAAUAUGUUUGUUAUAUGAAAAGUUAUAUUUAAAAUGUUCAUUGAAAGCUAUAAUAAUAAAUUGUGGAAAAUGAUAGUCAAUGGUCCGUUUAUUCCUACUCACUAUGUUAACGGUGAAGUAGUAUAUAAACGUGGGUUCCUUUUGACCAAAGAAAACAAGACAAAGUUCAAACUUAAUUUUAAAGAUAAAAACUUUUUUGUUAUGACUUUAAGUGAAAAUCAAUUUCUUUAUGUCCUUAAAUGUAAAUCCGCAAAGGAAGUGUGGGACACUCUUGAAAAGAUAUACAGAGUGUCUCUAAGUAUCGGACAAGAGAUAAUUAACACAUGAGUCUAAUAAGUUGAAUCACUAGAUUAAUAUGAAGAUUUACUUCAUAUAUGGUGUUCAACCACUGGAAAUAUUGGAAGACAUGAUAGAACUUUUGUAGCUAACAAAUAUCUAAUAAUUAAUAAUUGAAAUCAUAAAUUUGAUCCAAUCCUUAAAUCAAGAAUAGAGAUGUUUAUGAUUUUCAGGAAAAAUCUAGAAAGGGAGAGAUCUUUGAAAAGCUUAACAAAUUGAUACAAGUAUUAAAGGAUGAAAGAAUGAGCUCAUAAAUCCUAGAAAAUUCAUUGAAGAAAAAUUAUUUUUGAAGAAAAAGAAGAAAAAGAAGAAUAGUAAACUUCAAUAGUUUUAUUUGAAAGAACAAUAUCAAUUGACGAACGAUCCUCAGAAAUUUCAUUGUCUAGUAAUGAAACAACUUCAAUAAGGACGGUGUUUCGCCAAAUCUCAGUAUGGUGCCCAUUUGUUGAGUCAACAUGUGGAUCAUUUCAUAAUUAUUUUCGUUCAUUUGUUGUCUUAUGACUGCGACAGAACUUGACGUGAAAGUUGGGAUUGACUGAGAUGACAAUCCAAAACCUGGGGGUCGACCGAGUUGGCUUGCCAAAGGUCCUAACCCCUGGUUUCGUGGGAAUGGCGAUGACGAUGUUUCGCCAAAUGUCGAACCGAAAUUAUGCAUACUUGCCAUAAACUCGGUUGGCAUUCCCAACAUUCUGUGCAUGGGGACUGUGAAACUGGGCAUAUAUUGCCCAGAAGUUUCCAUCGUUGUUGGCGUCAGCGUUUGAGGCUGACGCAGUGUUAGAAUCGGCCCACUAUACACAGUCAAAACCGCAAGUAUAGCGCUGGAACCAACAUCGGUUGUUUGUGACGCAAUUGUGUCUUCCGCCAAAGACAUUUCUUCGUGUGGUCGUGGUGAGAUCAUCUUACCACUACGUAGUUUCAUAUACUGAACAUUUCGGGUCUCACCAGGUGUGCCAAUUUGUUUCUCGCGACAAUCUCUAGCUUUUCUAUUUAAGAUUUACUUGCAUGACCGGCUACAAAGUCCUAGACUUAUAUGUGUUGAGUGUAUGACUAUUUCGUUGAUAAAGUGUUUAGAAUACUUUUGGGUAGUAAGUGCAAUAUUUUGCAAAUUAGAAAUGGAAUAAAAGGCAAAAUACUGAUGUAAAUGAACAAAGCAAAUAAAAGUAAUUUGGCAAGUUAAAUGACUUGAAGAUAAAAAUGGAAGCAAAAGUACAUUUUGUAGGAAGAUAACUUUUUUCUCUCAAACACUUCAUACUUCAAGUGUAUUCCUACUGCAAUGUUAAAAAUAUCUCCCUCAUAAAUGAAAAUUACAUCUACUUAAAUAUUAGCAAAAAAUAAUUGUUGGGAGAUUACGACCCAUUUAUGAGAUGACAUGUGUCGGGCAUAUCUCUCACGUUUGCUGGUAACUUCUCACGUUCAGCUUCCCACGAUUAAUCCCUACCAUAGUAAGCGGACCUUUUCGACUUUGACAGACUUCCCCUUUCGUCAAUCCAGCGCUCUUGGCUCUCCGCCUCGUCAAUCCAGCUUUCGAGUGUCCUUUGGUCGACCCUAUUUUAUACCUCUUGGGUUGAAAUUUGCCAGCUAAUAUAAUGUUAUUCUUGUAUUCACACCAAUGUUUGAAAACUUUCACAUAAACUAACUCUUUGGGUCCAUGUGAGGGAGAAAUCCUAAAUGAUAUAGAGUUCCAAAUUCAAAGUCAUUAAAUGGAAGGACAAAUCACAUUCUAGAGAACAAACAUUUGUAUAGAGGUAGUCCAUACAUUCCAUAUCGGUUAUAUUAUCGCUUACCAUUUUUUGUGUGGAUUACUUCCCAAUUUGAAAACGGACCAACAUCUCUGUGAAAAAAGAUCCAUACCAAGACGAGUUACGGAGUUUUCUUCGUCUACCUAUAGAUAUUGAUCACCAUCAUCGAUAAGAUCAAUAGUCAAUGCUUUCUCCCCGUGUUCGUUUCGUUGUCAAUGGAUAUAAACUACCUAAUGUGAGUAUUAGGUCUUGAUAGUUCCUCUAAUCACCUAUUAAUCUCACCCUGGGUAACCUCGUAAUGGAACAGACGCCUUAUACACAUAGCAACAUUUUGAUUCACUUUCUAGGUUAGUCACUCUUAGGUUUGUCGCCUCAGGCUCUUCUGUGACUUCUGGUUAAUCACCUCCACCUCAGUUUAAGAUGAUGUAUCACUAAUCGCUACUAAAAUAAAUGAAAGGAUUACGUGUUCUGAGAUUUCUAAAUUGGCCAUUAAGUUGGACAUUAGUGGGAGACUAACGAAAAUCAAAGAAUAGCGAGAUAAGAAAACAACUACCUUAAUUUGAUUGUAUCGUAUCUUUCAAUUAUAAUUUGAUUGUAUCAAAACAUCCACAAUUAUCGAAACAUAAUUCUAAAAUCCAUCAAAAUUUGGAUCAAAAUUAAUGCUCUGGUAUCAAAUUUCGCAUACAAAUCUCAAACAACAUGGUCGGAUACGUUUUACCAAACCCAAUGCUCUUGCAGAAGUGAAGUUACAGGCAUAGAGGGGACUUCAUAAACAAUAUGACCAGUAUGGUUGAAAUUUAGAUACCCGGGGAAUUUAUAAACAACAAAUUUGUAAACAAAUAGACUAGGGUGAAAAUUUCAACACCAUUUAAGCUCUUUAAUUCAAAAAAUUUAAGACGAACAUACCCCAUUAUAAACUUAUAAUACUGAAAAAUCAUACAUAACCAAAAACAAGAGGAUUGAUUUGAUUUUAAAAGAAAGUUACACACUAAUUCAGACCUAAUUCUAGCACUUAUACAAAAUUCAAGCACUUGUAAACUUAGUGACAGCUUUCGUCCCUUCAGAAACAGCAUGCUUAGCCAAUUCUCCAGGCAGAACAAGCCUGACCGCAGUCUGAAUUUCCCUCGAUGUGAUUGUUGGCUUCUUGUUGCUCUGUUGUACCUUGCAAGUCUGGAAGAUUUUCUCGAAGAUGUCGUUGAUGAAGCUGUUCAUGAUUCCCAUGGCCUUGCUUGAGAUACCGAUGUCAGGGUGAACCUGCUUCAGAACUUUGAAGAUGUAGAUCUUGUAUGUCUCCACGCUCUUCUUGUUUCUCUUCUUCUUCUUGUCUCCGGCGGCGGCACCGGCUUCCUUGGGAAGCUUCUUUCCGGCUUUGGGUUUCUUCUCGGCAGGAGACUUCUCGGCCACCGUAGACUUCUUCUCUUCAACAGGUUUCUUCUCAGCGGGCUUCUUCUCUCCCUUUGGCGCCAUUGAGAAUUGAGAAUUUGGAACUUUGAAGAAAAAUUAGGGUUUCGGAUUGGAUAUUAGAAUUGGAAAUCAAAUAUGAUAGAUGAUGAAUGGAGUUGUUGCGGUGAUUUAUAUAUAUAAGAAGGUUCUCGCGUUGCUAUUGGCCAAUGUGGUAAUUCGCGGAUCGUUGACGUGGAACUCUUUUAGCCGUUACACUCAUUUUUAUAGGGACGUGACAAUAGACGGUUACGAUCUUGCUUUGGUGUUACUUUGGUCUUGCUUUAACUCGAUGAUGAUGAGGACGCUGUGGGUGACUCGGAUGCAAAAAUUCUUAUUGUUACUACUUAAUGCAAAAAUAAAAUAUAUUUAGGUAUUGUUUAACUUAUUUUGAAAGUAUUUUUAAGCAUAUUUUUUUUAAAUAUUAUACAAAAUUAUCUACAAAAAUUUAUAAUUUUUUAACAUAAUAUAAGCUAAAUUUAAAAUUUUAAUUCGUAACUAUUUUUUUAAAUAAAACUUACAUCAUUUAAAAAUGAUGAGAAAUGAUUUCAAGUGUGAUUUUUCGGAUUCAAUUCAAGUAUGGCAUCAACAUGGAAAAACGUCAAGUUUCAAUCAUCAUUGUUUCAUCAUAGCUCAAGCAAGUUCAAAAGAGCACGACACAUGGUUAUGGAUUCAUCACAAGUAAUUAUCAUUCAAAUAUAAACACAAGCAAUGAAGUCACGAGCUAAAGCAAGAUUGAAUUAUUAAUGCCCAUGAACAAGAUGCAAGCAUGAAACUGGACUCGGGCAAGGAUACCAAAAGAGGUACAUAAAAUUACCAAAAUCAAGUACAAAGAAUGAAAAAGUAAUCAUCAUUAAGGUUACAAUACAAGAGCAACAAUAUACAUGUGCAAAUAAUAAACUAUGCAUGCACAAUAUUAGAACCAACAUUCAAGUUACAAAGACAAGUCCAGUACGAGAUGAAAAGGACAAGAAAAACAUUGCCAAUAAAUUCAAGGAUAAUGCAGCUAUACAAAGGGGAAAAAAGAUACAAAAGAGUACAUAUGAUUGGGGGAUCAUUCUUGACAAAAAAGGAAGAUACCACUGCACAUUUUUUCCGGAAAACCUUAUCUUUCAACCUUUGAUCAAAAUCCUCAUUCUUCAUUCACCCUUCACGCACCAAACCAUCCUCGCUUCAUAAUCACCAUGCUAUUCUGCAUCACAACAACACCAAAACUCACAUAUAACUUCACAUCCUUCACACACCGAAACUCUUUGCAUCAUCUUCAAUCGGUCACUUCAACCUUGUUGCUGCAUAUCAACUGAGAAGCAAAACCUCUACACACUUUUCUUCUUCCACCCAACUCACAAACCACUACAAGCAUAAACAACACACAACAUCAAUUGCAAUGCAUAACACAACUCAGAGAGGAAAAUUCAAAGAUGCACUCACAACAUAAAACACAACAAGCAAGAACGCAAAGUUUCACAACAACAACCAUCGCGUAAAGAAGAAGAAAAGGAGGAAAUAGUGAGACUCUACCUAAGAAAUCACCACUGCGACUUUGAAGGUAUCCAUCUCUUCCCAUUAGAAUGUGAUUUGAAUGUUUGAUGUGGAAGUUGAAAAAUUAUUGUUGGAUUUGGAAGGAGAAGAUGAAAACGAGCAAGGACUUGUGAUUUCCGGUUUGGGUGGAGCUCCGCUAGACGUAGUAAUUUAGUUUCUGGUGACGGAAUUUCAAGAGAGAGAGGAGAAAUAAUGCGUGAAUGCUGAAACAUAUGAAAUUGGGUUUUGUUCUUUGUUCCCUUUCUUGUUGAUCCCUACGCGUGGGUUUAUGGGCCUGGCCCAUUCAUCAAUGUUUUCCACGCCUCCACAUGGAUCCACUACACCCCCUAUUGGGCAGACUGAGAACUAAUAGGCUCAAACACUUGGGUCCUUGCUUAUUUUUUUUCUUUUUUUCCUUUUAGUGCAAACCCAAUCUAUUUCUGCACCCCCUUUGUUUUUUUAUUAUUUCAUUUUUUUGUUUCUUUUCUUACUAUUUUUAUUUUAACCUUUUUAAAUCAAACUCUUGAUUUUCUUUUCGUUUCACACUUUAAUUAAUUUCUAUUUAAUAUAAUUAAUUUAUUAUUAUCAUUUAUUUCUUGCUUAUAUUUUAUUAUUUACCCUUUGUUAUGAUUAUGUGGUUGAUGGCAAUCUUUUGAAUCAUGGAUUAUUGAUCUUAAGGUUGAUUAAACCUUCAACACUUCAAACAUGUUGGUGAAUGAUCAUUGGAUCAUUCUUGACACUUUGAGGUGUUCAUAUGUUUCCAUUGGUUGAUCAUUUUUUGAAUAUCUUGAUGAUAUAUGAGACCUUUUGUUGCUUGAGCUUGACUUUCCAUUUUACCAGUGUUGCAUUAUUUUAAGAGACUAACUUUACGUUGGUCCUCUAACAUGCCUAGCACAUACAUUAUUAUUGACCGACUCAGAUAGGUGUGGCUUCUACAUAAGUCCAUUUACGAUUUCUUAACAUAGCUCUAAAGUGUCCCGACUUGAUUAAAUAUUCCCUUUGAUCAUUAACCACUAACAUUUGGAAUCAGAUGUUUAACUUUUAUCUCAUUUUAUCUUAACUUGUGAUUGCUUGGGUGAUGAAGUCUUCCAUUUUUUAAAUCAUUCAUAGGUGAACAUCUCGGUUGAUUUAAUAUUCAUUGAUUCAAACAUGUUGAUAAAUGACCAGUGGAUCAUUUUAUACACUUUGAAUCAUUGAUAGGUUGUCCCGUAAUGAGUCAUAUUUUGAAUCCUUUGACUUAUGGGUAGAGGAUUCCUAGGUGAUCACCUCUUGUAACUUAACCUCUAACCACUAACCAUUGAGUUGUUGACCUAGUCUUAUUGUCAUUUAUUUGCUUGUCAAUUUGUUUUCUUGCUAUUUACUUUCAAGUAAUUUAUUCUCAUGUCCAUCAUUAUUGUAUAUAUUCCAUGCAUCCUUAUCUUAUUGUCAUUUCUUUAUUGCUUUGCAUAAUAAAAAAGAAAGAAAAACUUGAUAAAGUGAACAUACCAAAAAUAUGUAUUCAUUUUUGACCUAAUGUUGGACUUAGAGGACUUAUUAGGAACCUUGUAUUUGGAUCUUAGAUCAUGAUACUUGACCUAUUGCUCUGACUUGGAGUUUCAUCUGUGACUUGCAAACUUUUAUUGUAAGAAUGACAUUCAUGGAACUAUCCCAGGGAGACAUGUUUUGAGUACAUUAUCCACUUGUUAGCAUAUGUCACUUUGCAAACACAAGGUUUUCUCUUGGGCUACCUUAAAAUGAGACCCUUUAUUUCUCACAUUGUUCUCUUGUAAAUAUCCAUGUCUCUUACCAUUUCAAAACCAAUAAGCAAUAAACCCUUGAUCCAACAUAAAGCGACAUUUUCUCAAUCAAAUUUAAAACACAAUAAAAUAUACGAAUAGAAUUACGUGCCACGAGCCUUAAGUGGUGGAGAAUGAGUAAGAAUUAAUAUAGAUAAAAACUCAUUCAUGUUGACAACUUAGAUGAUUCCCAUAGAGUAAGAUAGAUGUGAGGGGUGCUAAUACCUUCUCCCCGCAUAACCGACUUCCGAAACCUAAUUUAGUUGCGAUACCAACUUUAUUUUUCUUUAGAGGGUUUUAUCGAUUAUUUUCCCUUUCCUCUUUUUUGGAAUAAAUAAAAUUUGGCGGCGACUCUUCUAUAUGCUUUUUAUUUUAAGCCUUAGUGAGUUCAGUUUUCGCGUAGCGACACUAGGUGGAGAUUUAUGAUUUUAUGUUUAUUUAGUGUUAUACAUGUGUAUUGAUACUAGAAAUAAGCAUGGGAUACUGCAAAACCAUAUCGCGCACAAAAGCUAUCAUGACUUGUCUUCACUAUGAUUCUUUGUUUCCCUUUUUAGUAUUGCUUUUGUUUUUGUUUUUGCUUCAUUAUUCCCUUUUUAAAUAUUUGAUCUCUUUGUACAUGUGUUUUCUAGAAUGCAUAUUCAAAUUCACACAACCUGUAAAAUGCAGAGAUGAUGAAUAUGAUGUUGAUCUUGAGGUCAUUACGUAACUCUCAUGCAAUCAUAAAGAUGUUUCGUAACUGUCAUUUGUGACUGUUCAUGUUGCCUUUUGGCACCCUUCUAGAGACCGAAUCUCACUUGUUCAUCUGCCAGAGUCACUACAUGACCGAAUCCGACUUACUUACGUCUUAUAACAAUGUUCUCCUUGACCAAUAUCUGACCUGCUUAGGGUUUAUGCCAUCCAACGUGUUUGCCCUUUUGUACUCGGCAUACAUAAGCUCGGUCUUUGGGAAUUCCAGGAUGUACAUAGACUAUUACUAUUACGAAAAUGAUUUUCGCAUUUACCUAUUACACUUAGGAUUCCAAAUAUUACUAAAAUUACCUAAUUUAUUAUCUAUUUGCAUUUAUGUAUUUACGAUUUUUUUUUCAAAAAACAAAUCAGCUAUACGCACUAUUUAUUUGACCCACUAAACAUAAAGCUUAAAAGUUCCAAAUUGACUUAGGAUUUUCAUUAUUGCAUCUUUGUUGUGGGAAGAAAAAAAGACCCAAUAAUGGCCAACCACGUGAUCAUUUAUAUUUCAUUAUCAUCAAGCAUAAUAAGUUUGUAUUCAUUAUUUUGUAAUGUUGUUUACUUCUGCUAAUGAAGUUAUCUAUAUCACUGUUACCAUGAAUAAAGAUGCGAUUUCAAGGUUUUUGUUGGUUUUGUAAUUAUAAAAAAUUAUUGUUUGCAAUCAGCUAUGGAAGUCUGAGUCAAAACCAUAAUAAAGGAACAACAUUUUUACAUUUUCUAUUGUUAUUAUUAUUUAGGGUUUCCAAAAAAUUUCAUGCAUAAGAUGAAUUUUUUAUUUUGUAGAUAGUUUCUAAUAACAAAAAUGUUUGAACUUAUUGAUAUGUGACAUUGUUAUGUUAAUGUUUUUGAAACUUAACAGUCUUUCAAGUUCAUUUGAUGAAGAAUGAGACUGUGCUACAAACCAUAUCAAAUGUUGACAAGUUUUGCGAUAGUUAUGCAAAAAAUAAACUUCUUCACAAACAUCUUUAUCAAAAUAACAAGCUGAACGAUAUGGAGGUUGUUCAUGAACUUGGCCAUCAAGACAAAUACUUUAAUGACACGGUUGACAACACACAAUUCGUCAUGGGUACAAUUACUGAAAGUGUUAUUGAAACAAGAAAUGGUGAAGAGUUGAAGAAGAAUGAAGGUGUUCAUAAGGGAAAUGGUGAAGAGUUAAAGAACAACGUUGUUACAACGGUGAAUGUAGUCGUUUAUGGUCUGAAUGUAUGUAACACUCAAUAUUCCUGGGAGAGCAUGAUAAUUAAUCAAAAAAAAAAAUCUUGGUAAUAUAUUUCAAUCCUUAUCCUACAUUGAUUAAUCGUAUUUUUUUCAAUCACAUUACUAAUAACUCGAUACUAUCUUUAAAUGUUUUCCAGCACUUCCUAAAAAACAUUAUCAAAUAUUGUAUCAGGCCUAGGUUGAAGGAGAUCAAAUUGAUUGAUCUUGAAUCUAAAUUUUUUUAUGACUGUUUCAUUUAUAUAUCUAAAAGGAACCAUGUAGAAAAGUCCAUUGGGCAGGGUUGAUAUGAAUACAUAAAAAUAGAGAAGCUUCGUAACAAGAUGUUUUGGCAUUCAGGAUUAACCAAUUUUUUAAAUACUUAUAUGUUAGUUUGAGGAGGAAGUGAUUCCUAGUAUUCUAAGUUUUAUUUAUGGGUUUAAGGAUUAGUUGUUUCAAUCUUGGUUAUAUACCCUUUUUUGGUCCCUUAACUAUACCCUUGGGUUCACAUUGGUUCCUUAAUUUUUUUUCUCGUGUCACCUUUGUCCUUUAACUUUUUAAUAAAUGCAUAUGAGUCCCUUCCGUAUGUUUUCCUCAAACGUCCGUUUGUUUGAGCUAUGUGGAAAUUGAGUUGGCAAUGGUACAUCAUCUUCCUUAUUACCAAUUUUCUUAUUCGUUUUUCACGUUGUGUAUCCGUUUUCUACAACUAAAAUAAAAUUAGGGCAAUAUUGGUUCAUCGUUUUCAUUAUUUUUUUCGUUUUCUUUGAAGAAUGAAAUCCGACCAAUGUUCUUCAUUUCUAAAGCAGAAGAACUCUGGAAGUUAUGAAUCCAGUGUAUACACAAGCUCACGAUGUGUACCAAAAUGUCAUUGUGGAGACAGAGCUAUGAUUCACAGGGAAAUAACUAAUAAAAAAUUUGGAAAGAAUUUUUUGGGUUGUCCAAAUUUUAAUGUAAGCCCUAAUUUUAGUUUGAUUUAUGUCUAAAUGUGAUAAACUCAUUUUGAUACAUAUAUUAAAAUUCCAGGGAUCCUUGCAAAGAGGGCGUGGUUUUUUAAAUUGGUUCCACGAGGAUUUAGGAGAUGAGAAUGAGCAAUUUAUGAUGAAUAUGUUGGAAAGCAUAUCAAAGGAAAUUGAUGGUGCAAAAAAGAAGUUCGAAAAAGUCAGGGUGACAAAUGAAGAAUUAAGGAAAGUUGUGAUGGAAGUUCAAACUCAAAUGAACAAGAUCUUAAAGUGGAAAAAACAUGGAAUAUUAUAUUUUUGGUAAUCUUAUCUGUAUUGUUUUUUAGGAUGUUUUAGGAGUAUGUACCAGUUUGUAUGGAUGAGUUGGUAUGUAUCAGUUUGUAUUAGUUAACAAUAUCAGUUUGUAUCAUUGUUUUGUUAUGGAAAAGUUGGUAUGUAACACAUUGUAUCAGUUUAAUAUGAGUUGGUUUGUUUAGCAGAUUAUUAUUUGUAUCAGUUCAUAAAUCAGUCCAUAAAUCAGUCCAUAAACACAAUGUAACACAUAUUCUUUACUUAACUAAUUUACAAUAUCAGUUCACAUAACAUGAAUUCCAAAAUGAUUUGCAUAACACAUAAAUUGAUUUUCAUAACACACUACAAAAUUCCAAAUUGAUUCCAAAAUGACAUUGACAUGUUCACAAGACAUAAUACUAAAAUACACGCUAAAACCAUUAACUAGACAAAGGUUAAACAACACGACAUUCUUCUUUGGUGUGAUUCUCUUGCUUGGAGUAGACCUCCUGGUUGUUGGGCCAACUACAUUCUUAGUUGCAGUUAAUAUCGUUGUUGGUCCUGGAGGUACAAAUGGUCUUCUUACAUAUAACUUUCAUGUCUUACCGCUUCAUUGAGUUACUUGAGUUGCACUGCCUUGAGUAGCUGACAUUUUCCCUUGAGUUGAUUGAGUUGUCUUGCCCUGAGAUGACUUAAUUGGUUGAGUUGCUGGCCUUUUUCCUUGAGUUGACUGAGUUGCAUUUCCUUGAGAUGUCUGAGUAUCAUUCCUGUAUCCUUGAUUUGCCUGAGAUUGUUAAGUAGCAUUCCUACUUCCUUGAGUUGCAUUACCCUGAGAUUACUGAGUAGCAUUGCCCGGAGAUUGUUGAGUUUCAUUUCUUUGAGGUUGUUGAGUUACAUUGCCUUAAGAUUGAUGAGUAACAUUGCCAUGGGUUUCCUGAUAUGAAACUUGAGUUGUUAGUGUAACCUUACAAGUUGAUUAUUUAUGUCCUGCCUUUUGCACCUACCGCACUUGACUAUGAAACCCAUUCUUCUCAUUUUUCUGUCAGUCUCAUCAAUCUCCCCUUGUUUAAGGUUCCUCUUCUUCUUUGGUCUACCAGACAUCUUUCUAUACUUAGGUGGUUGCACAUCCAUAUAUGGUGUCUUAACCCAAAUAUUUGAUCCAUUCAUAGGGUAAAUCACAUGCUUGUAGACUGCCAUGUACCUAUAUUUCAUAUAAUACUCAGGGAUAUAAUCAUCAAUCUUAAACAUGAAAAGCCCUAAAUCUAAAAAAAAAAACCUAAAUGUAUAGAAAUUCCUAAAUCUAUGAAAAUCCCUAAAGUUUCCCCUAAUUCAGUUACGAAAACAUGCAAAUAAUAUUGACCUGUAUUCGAAACUUCGUCUUCAAUCCUUCACUUCCUUGAUUUCGCCAGAUUGUGCGCCUUCAAAUGUCGGUUCAAUCGUUUCUUCGAAAUCGUUCCUUCGAAAUCACCUUCGUGUAUCUUUAGCUUAGGGUUCCUUUGUUUUGAACAACAACAAAAUGUUUUGGUUGCUAUAUUGAGUCUCACAUCCACAUCAUCAGGUAACAUGCCACUUGAAGCUAUUUUUUUGGCUUUGACUAACGUCCACUAACGAAAGGACAAACGUGACAAUGUUUCAAAAGUUAAAGGACCAAGGUGAUACGAAAAAAAAAAUUAAGGGACCAAUCUGAACCUAAGGGUAUAAUUAAGGGACUAAAAAUGGUAUUUUACCUUAAUCUUUAUUAAGACUUUUUUAAUUAUCUUUUAAAUAUUGUAAUUUUUUGGAAUUUUGAUGGAGUUUAAACUAUUUCACUAUUUGGUUGUUUUGGGUUGUAAUAUAAUGCUCAUACUUUAAUCGUACCUAUAAGUAUGAGAUAUUAUUAUGUUUGAUCUUUUUAAAGUUUAUUUUGAUUCAAUUUCUUUUAUUUCUUACAAUUUGAGAAAUUAAAGUGUGUGCACAAAAAUAUCAGAUCAUCAAACCGUAGCUGAAACUAAUCCGCGUCCACAAAUUUGUUACUAGUUUUAAUAAGAAAAGUAGUUAGAAAAAAAAAGAAAGUAUAUAUGAAGUGUGAUUCUGCUUUAUAGGUCUUUGAUCGAAGGCUCUACUCUUGGUGUAGCUAUUUUUAGGAUGUUCUUCUAUCCAACUUUAAACCGAUCAAAUUGGUCCAAUGCGGGGUUAGCUUUUCUGAGCAUCAUUUGCAUUGUGACUAAGUUCAGGGACGUCAUUAAUGACCACUUCUAUUUUUUUUGAAAACUAAACAAGGAUUUCAUUUGCUUACUCCAUCGGGUACAAUUUUUGCUAUCAAGAAUUGAAAAUACUAUUGCCAUCAUCAUCUCUGCAACAAAUGCGAUUUAGGAUCCCUCAAAACACGAUCACCAACGUACAAAUAUUGAAUUAAGAUAAAAAAGUACGAACCGAAACUCUAGAUAUCAAUUUAUUAGUGUUGAAAUAUUUAGGUGAGAAAAUAAUGAGAAUAUUAGAGAGAAUAUAGAGAAUGAAAAGUAAAUUGUAUAUUAUAUAUUUAUAAAAAUAAAUUAUAUAUUGUGUAACGUUAAUAAUCUAAUAUUCGGUUAUACUUGUAUCCCAAGUAAUUAAGUUAAGUUAACAAAUAUCACAAUAAUUUUGUUUUAGCCAAUUUUAAACCGAUCGAAUUAGUCCAACGCUGGGUUAACUCCCUAUGCGAUUCAGCAGCACAACCAGAUCGGUGACUGUAUGUUUUCAGUUGAAUCGGACGGUCCCUUAGUAAAACUACAAGAAAAACUAUAACUAAAAAAAUGUUAGAGAAAGUAGCUAAGAGAAACGUGCAUCGCACGUGGUUCGGGCAAUGUAUUUUUCGAAGUUCUCAACCGUCAAUUCUCUCUAACCUUACUCACUCCACACUCAAAAGUCACACUUUUAACACCAUGGAACUCAAUCACCACCACCACCACACAUUCCCAUGGCCACCACCUCCACCACCUCCCUUUUCCUUUACACCCCAUUCAACGCUCAAAACUCCAACAAAACAUUCCCCAGACACCGCUACUCUCACCCAAACAUCACCUCCUCCUCCGUCACAGCCCAAUCAAAACCCGCCAAGGAUCAUCUCCUCUCCCUCGUCUCCGACCAGGAUCGCGGCCUCAAAACCCAAAACAACCCCACCAAACGAGCCUCUAUAAUCACCGCAAUUGAAGAAUUGGCCGCCCUCGGCGCCGGCUCUGUAACCACCGGCGACUCCCUCUCUAGCACGUGGCGGUUACUCUGGACGACGGAGAAGGAGCAACUCUUCAUCAUUGAGAAGGCUCACUUGUUCGGAACCAAAGCUGGUGAUGUAUUGCAAGUCAUAGAUGUUGAGAAACUGAGUCUCAAUAAUGUAAUCACGUUUCCUCCUGAUGGAGUUUUCUUUGUAAGAUCAAAUAUCGAAGUCGCUUCGUCGCAGAGAGUGAACUUCAGGUGAAUGAAUAGUUGAAAACUAAAUAAUGUUCCUUUUGUUUAAUUACUGCAAUUAACUGAAUAAUUAUUUUUUAUUUUUGUUCAACUAGGUAUGUUGCUCAUUGACCUAAAUCAAAGUUGUAUUAAUAUUUGGCUGUUUCAGAUUUACUAGUGCAGUGUUGCGUGGGAAGAACUGGGCAAUACCAUUGCCACCAUUUGGACAGGGUUGGUAAGUACUUUUGAAUUUAUAAUGCAUCACAUUCCAUUUCUAUAAAUAGUUUUGAUAUACACAGCUAAAUACACCCGUCUUAAGUUUUUGAAGCUCUGGAUAGGUUCUACAUGAUAAGUUUUUGAAGGCUUUAUGUAUGUUACACACGGUUCAGCCAUGACAAAACAAUUAGAGACUUUAUUAACUACGUUUUAACAAAGAUUAAGAUUUUAUGAGACCCUAUUUUAGGCCCUGUGCUAUAGUUUGCCUUGCACCCUCUCAAAGAAAGUUCUGAUGGUAGAAUAGUUAGCAUUCCAUUUGAUCCUUAUGAUAAGAAAAAGUUUGUUUUUUUAGAUACAUUGAAUUGAAUAAUGAAUGUGAUCCAUAUAUAAUCCAAAUAUGUUAAUUAUUCAAUAUAUAUAUAAAAUGAUUUUUUUCUUCUUAUAAUAAGGAUUAGAGGGAGUAUUACAGUUUAGAAAGAAUCUCUUGGAUAUUAGUGGUUUAAACUUUAAAUAACCUCACGCAAAAUUGUGCUUUUUGUUGAGAAGUGAAACAAUUAUGAUUUCUUAGUAUUUUUUACUAUACAUGAAUCUUUGGAUUCAAACACUUUAGUUUCUAAGAUCAAGCUCAUUGUCAGGAGGUUGCUUAUGUAUCUAUAAAUACCUAUGUGGUAGUGAUUUGUAAACAUACAGAGAAGCCAAGAAUUCCAAAAAAAUAAGUUUCUAAAGAAUGUUGAGUACACAUUGUUAAAUUUGCUAAACUAAGCCCGAAAGAUUGAGGACAUAUAGAACUAGAAGUUUGCAAAAGUGACAAUUUAGCUCCAGAAACAGAGCAACAAAUCCAAGAAUGACUCCAAUAUAAACUUCUUUGUUGAGAUUACAGUUGGAGGAAGGAAAGAUUGUAGGGUACUUAUAGGGCUUGAUUAAACUAACUGAAGUAAUUGAACCAUAGCCCAAAUGUCUAACCGGUUCAAUCUCUAGUCCGGUUUUAAAACAUUGAUAGUUACAUUUCACAUUCCAACUGAGUGGCCAUACAAUACUACUACUUCCUAAUUCUCUCUUUCUUUUCUUUUCCUUACAAUCAUACACCUCCAAGUUACGGCCCUGCCCUUGCUUCUACACAUCAAAGAAUGAAAGAAAUAGGCAAAUAAUCGGUUUCCUGCUAAUUUACUGGGCUUCUAUUUAUAAUCGGAUAGUUUUAUCUGGAAUUUAUUCUUACCACGAACAACCUUUCUACAUAAACAAAUUGAUGUUAUAUGAUCUUAAAUCCCUCUUUUAUGGUUUUCUUUGUAUGAUCGAUUUGUCCCAUUUUACCUUUUCCUAUACAUUGAUUUCUUUUGAGAAAAAUAUAUGAACAAGGUUGUGGGGGUCUGUCACGUUUUAUUUCGACGAUGACGAUGUAGUUGCAUCCUGUUUUUGCAGGUUUGAUACUGUAUACCUCGACGAUGACCUUCGAGUUGUAAAGGAUAUCAGGGGAGACUAUUUAGUUGUUGACCGAGCUUCUUAUAGCUGGAAAGAAUGACUAGAAUCUUCACUGUCACUGUUUGCUCAUCUUCAUUAAUGGAAGUUUCCAACUCAUCUCUGCCUUUAUGGUAUCAAUUCUGUCUCUGUAUUUGAUUAGUAUCUGGCUUUGUCUUGUAUGUCUUUUGGUUGUGUGUGCUAAUUCAUUAGUAUUAAGCUUGUUGUUCAUUUAGAGAAUGUUUAACUUAUAUUGCAAAUAUAGAUUAAAUCCUUUUUUGGAUGGCAAAACCUAUCCUCUUAAAACUACGUUCAUUGUCCUAGGUGACAUAACAUUACUAUGUGUGAUCCUUUGCACUCUUUGAAAAAAAUCAAAAGUGACAAAGAUAAAUAAAUACGAAAGCAUGAUGAUUGUUAGAACACGCUUUCUCAUGCUUAGCUACUUUACUUGAAGCGUUUUUGAGAGUUGUCUGUCCAACAAUAAAACCUCCAGUCCUCAGUCCCACCAGUGAUGAAACCCCAGCCAAGUCUGCAUAUGCAUGUUUCACUCCUACCCACCUAUACACCAGAACAUCGGCUGACCUAAAAAUCGAUUUUCUCUCUUUCUUCACAGAUAUCUUGCACGUUUAAAUAUAUCAAAUAUGACAUCCUUAAUAAAGUUAUGUUGAUAUUUGAAUCCUGGAAGCUCGUUGCAAUGAACAUGCUCCCCAAAUAUAUCCAAAAACGCCUUGCGACAAACAGAAUAAAUCUCAUCAAUAGAAAAUAAACGAAUCAUAAUAUUUGUUCGAACAAAGAAUGAUGUUUCUAGGUUCUUGGUAGGUCUUUGUGUUUAUAACAGACGAUUCAUAGAUAUGGGAAGCAGCUAUACAAAUUCCUGACAUUAGAUCUAACACUGAUACAUAUAUUUGGGUAGUAAUUCUAAAUAAACUAAGUGAUCAAAUGUAUGAAAUGUUUGUGCUAGAGUUUGCCGUUAUACGAUUGUUUGUUUGUUUAGAAGCUGAUGAUAUUAAAAGGCUGAAAGUAGAAUAGGACGACAAACUUAUUGAAACUAGAACAUAACAACUUACUAUCCAAUAAAACACUUGGCAAUGGAAGAAAAAACGUGUUUUAUUUUUUAAAUAAGUUGACUAAUGUGCAGCACCAAUACCUCUAAUCAAAGAUGUCGGCGUUUGGUUUAUUCUCUCAAGUUAUUACCGGUGAUAAGUGUUAGUGUCCUCCUCGAUGCAUUCUCUCAUGUGAUUACAUGUGAUAAGUGUUAGUUUAGUGUCCUCCUUAUUAUUGGUGCAUUCUCUCAAAUUAUUAUUGGUGAUGAGAUUGUUAGUGCCUCCUUAUUAUUGGUGUUAACGUCUUACAAUAAAUAUCCAAAACGUACUUUUAGGUAUUUAUUCUCGUAAGUAUAUUGGAAAUAAUGUAUAAAGUAAUAAUUAAGAGACACAAUUAAAAAAUAAUUUUUUUUAUAUUGAAAAUUGAGAAUGAUAUUUAUUUUUUUAAAAAAUAUUUAUUAAAAUGAUAAUCAUUUUGAAACCAAAGACAAUAAAUAGCUGCACCAAAACAAGUAAUCUUUAAAAAAUCGGUUUAAAUUGUAAAUUGGUUUAAAACUGAUUAGGAGUAAUUGAAAAAAAAUAGCAAAAGUCUUUAAUCUGUUUGGUUGUGGGGUUUGGAGGGGAGGAGCAAGGAGGGAGGGAAUAUUUUAAAUUAUAUGUUUGGUUCAAUUUUUAUGAGAGGAGGGGGAGGGGAUCAAAGGUAAUCUGAAUCUCUUUCGAAGUAUUUUUUCAUUUUCCGGAAUCGAGGGUUUUUCGACGGGAGGGGAAGAAGAAGAGAAGUUAUGGUAAAAUAUAUUUGUAUUAUAUUGAUAAAAUUAUUCUCAUUUUUUUAAAUUGUCUAUGAUAGUUUUUAUCAUCUUAUUAGAAUUUUUCCAUAUUUUUUUAUAGGCAACUCCAUUAUUUUUAUCAUUAUGACUCAUUUUUUUAUGUGCUUUAUUCAAUUCAUUUUUAUUUAUUAUUAUGUUUUUAAUAACUUAAUUAUUUUAUUAGAAUUUUUUCAUAUUUUUUUUAUAGACAACUCCAUUAUUUUUAUCCUUAUGACUCAUUUUUUUGUGUUUUAUUCGAUUCAUUUUUAUUUAUUAGUAUGUUUUUAAUAACUUAAUUAUUUUAUAAGCUGAUGUGAUUUAUUACAUACCAUAUAAUUGUAGUAUGAGUUCUAUGAUAUUUAGAAUUUAAUUUAAUUUUAUAAAUAUUUUAUAGGAUAAGAUGUAUCAUAAGGAUGACAAAAUGGUUCAUAUUAUCAUUGAUCAUUUGAUGUUUAUCCAAUAUUUUAUUUUUAUUUGGAUAUAUUUUAAAUAUUAAAUAUUUUGUGUUUGAUUAUUUAUGUUGUUUAUGAAUUGACAAUUUUUUUUUUGUGAAUAUUAUUUUAGAAAAAAAUUAUUUAGUAUGAGUAUUAUAAUAUUUUAAGGAUUUAAUUGAAAUACACUGACAGUGUAUAAGAAUUUUACACCGUCGGUUAAUCAUAACCGUUGGAUAUUGUAACAAGUUUAACUUUUAUUUUAAAAAUCUAUAAAGUAAUGCAAACAGGUGAUGAUGAUGAAUCGAUAGUGUAAAACUUUUUACAUUGACAGUGUAUAGUAAUUCAUUUCAUAUUUUAAAAGUAAAUUAGAUUUAAAAUCUCCCCCCUCUCCUUGUAAACCAAAUAUAUAUUUGAUUAAAACUUCUCCCUCCCAUUUCCUUCCGUCUUUUGAAUCAACCCUAUAUUUAAUUAAAAUACAUUCCCUCACCUAUCCUCCUCUCUCUCUCCUUUAAUAAAAUCUUUACCGAUUUUAACUUUAAAGAAAAAAAUCUUAGGUAAAAAUGGUUUAUUAGAAUUAGCACCAAACAUAGAGGAUAAAAACCACAAAUAAAAUAUUCAAGAAAAGGGAACAAGAUAAUAGUGAUCUCUUAUAGCGUAUUCAUGUAUCUUAGGUUCAAAUUCUCUAAGUGGUGCCAACUAAAAAGUUUAGGGUCUUUAUUAAAAUAAGUUAUAAAUAGAUUGUUAUGAAAUAAUAAAAAAGAAUAAAACAUUAGAGAGUAAAGAAUAAAAAUUUAUAUUGUAUUUUUUUAAAGUAGGGAUGACAAUUUGACUCAUCUUAUAGGAUACCCGUAAAAUUAUCCAAAAUGGAUAUUGAUAAAAACCUAUAAAAUGGGUACGGAUAUGGACAUGAGCAAUUACCCAUUAAAAUAUUCGGGUAUGAGCACGGGUACGAGUAUCUUAGUAUCCAUCCUGUCCCAUAUCCGCAAUAUUAGUAUAAUUAUAUUAUUAUUAUAUGUAUAUUUAUUAAUAUUAUAUAGUAAAUAUAUAUAUAUAUAUAUAUAUAAUAUAUAUAUAUAAUAUAUAUAUAUAUAUUUAUUUAUAUUUAUUUAUUAUAUAUAAUAUAUAUAAUAUAUAUAUAUAUAAUAUAUAUUUUAAAUAUUAUAUAUAUAUAUAAUAUAUAUAUAUAUUAUUAUAACACUGGAUGUUUAUCAAUUUUAUUGAUACAUAUGUAUAAACUUAGUGCAUUUCAAUAUUAAUUGUUUGUUUUUAUUUGUUAACUCAACAAUAACAUUCUUGAAUUAUUUUAAUAUUGUCAAAAAAUCAAAAUGACAUGAUAAUUAUUUUAUCGAUAAUAUUUUAUCAUUAAUAUGUAACGGUAUCAAGUAUGGGUACUAGUACCCAUAAAGACCUUCACGAGUUAUAUGUUGGCGCCCACACGGAUAUGGAUCGGGUACGAAGAUUUUUCAAACUACGGUAUGCAUUUCAUUAUUAUAUAUUUUAUAAUAUAUAAUAUAUAUAUAUAUAUAUAUAUAUAUUAUAUAUAUAUAUAUUUAUAUUAUAUAUAAUAUAUAUAUAUUAUAUAUUAUAUUAUAAACAUGGAUUUUAUCAUUUUAUUGAAUACAUAUGUAUAAACUUGUAUGCAUUUCAAUAUAAUUGUUGGUUAUUUGUUUAACCUAACAAUACAUUCUUGAUUUUUUUUAAUAUUGUCAAAAAUCAAAAUGAUAUAAAUUAUAAUUUAUCGAUAAUAUUUUAUCAUUAAUAUGGGUAAACGGUACAAGUAUGGUACUUAGCUACCAUAAAGUACUUCCAGGUAUAAAUGUUUGGCGCCACCACGGAUAUGACUCGGGUACGAAUUUUUUUCAAAUACGGUAUGCUUUCAAUAGAUAUAUAUUACUUAUAUACCUAUAUAUUAUAUAUAUAUAUAUAUAUAUAUAUAUAUAUUAUUAUAAACACAUGGAUGUUUAUCAAUUUUAUUGAAUACAUAUGUAUUAAACUUGUAUGCAUUUCAAUAUAAUUGUUUGUUUAUUUGUUAACUCAACAAUAACAUUCUUGAAUUAUUUUUAAUAUUGUCAAAAAAUCAAAAUGACAUGAUAAAUUAUAAUUUAUCGAUAAUAUUUUAUCAUUAAUAUGGGUAAACGGGUACAAGUAUGGGUACUUAGCUACCCAUAAAGUACCUUCACGAGUAUAAAUGUUGGCGCCCACACGGAUAUGGACUCGGGUACGAAGAUUUUUUCAAACUACGGGUAUGGAGACGGGUACUAUAGUAUCUUGUCCAAACCUUACCCAUUGUCAUCCCUAUUCUCAAGUGUGACAUUUACAUUAUAAUAUAAAUCCUAUUUAUAGGAUAUAUGUAAGUUGCAAAAUGAAUAUCAAUAUCAAUUACAUUUAAUCAUAUAAUUAAAGUAUAUUAAAUUAUUAGGGAAAACAAACAUUCAUAUUAAACAUUAUUCAUAACACUCCCCUUGGAUGUUCAUUGAAUAUAUGUCUCGUUAAAAUCUUACUAGAAAAAAUUCAAUAAAAAAGUGAGUAAAAAAAUACAAUAUCUUAUGAAUGAGAACUGUCUCGUUAAAAACUUUAUUAGGAAAAAUCUAGUGGGACAAAACCACGGUGAAGGAAAAAGAGUGCAAAACAUAUUUAUAUCUCCCCCUGAUGCAUACAUUUCUAUAUGAGACUAUAUUAUUUGUAGAGUUGCUUAAAAGUUCUUGUAUAUCUUCCCCUUAACAAAUAUUUACUAAGACAAUUAUAUCACACAUGUCUAUAUUGUUUUAGUCCAUAGUGAGACUUGCUCAAUUUGAUAUAAUAGCUUUCUUGAGAUCCAAAAUUAGGCAUCUCAAGUAUAUUAAACCAUUUAGGGAGUUGUUAGCUCAUAUUUUCGACGCCCAUUAAGAAUUAUCAAAAAAGGAAAUCAUAUGUAUAACUGUUUUUCGACCAGGAGGUGAUAUUCGACCAGCUGAGGGUGAUUUGUCAAAGUAUCUACAAAAACCUGUAAAUUUACCAAGUACUCGUGUGAAGAAGAAUCAUAAAUCACAGAAUGUACGUUUGUUUACACCAUUGUUAGUUACUUCAAAGCAAUACAAAUUUGACUCUUUUUUUUAUAGAAAUACUCUUAUUUACUUCUUCAUUCCAAACACUCUUCUUUUACUUCGUCAUUUACAGUCUUAAGAUUUCAUUGCUUUCAACAUUUACUUUUGUCACUUGUUUAUUGCUACAAGUCCUUUACAAUUUCUCUCAUUCAUAUCAGCCUUUUUAUUAGUUUUCAAACUCUAAUUUUACGCUUAUUAUUGGAGUGUUCGUUAUUACCAAAACUCAUUUUCAAAACAACUAGCACAUGUCUUAGGAUCAAUCUGAUCGAUCCUGCAAGUAAUCAAUUUUAGAAAUUUGGAAGAUCAGCGGUUGUUUACCGAUUUUAAAGGUAAAAAAAUUGGCAGGCCUAGUGGGACCAGUGCUAACGUUACAAAUUAUAUGUAGUUCUGAUUGUUAAAUUUUAUUUUUGGGAAAAGAUUCGUUGUAUAUUAUUAAGAAGUGAUAAAGUAGCCAAAAACAACGAACAACGAACAAGGAGAGAAUCCCAUACGAGGAUGGCAAAUGUGAAUGCGCCAGAUACCCAAAACUCUCAAAAUUCAUCAACCAGUAACAUAACACCCCCUUCUUCUUCGAUAGGGGCAAACACGACCAUGUCGCAUGUGUCCGAAGUAGUUCCGUCCAUGAUGAGUUCGAUGCCUAUGCAUUCGAUCUCCCAUACUGAACCAAUUUUAACAUAUGUUAGGCCUAGGGGACCUCCUCAUACUCCCCCACCAAUUAGAGAUAUUCCAAAUAGGCCAUUGGUACCCCCUAGUUUCUCAAUACCAUUUGGUUGUCGAGAACAAUCGUAUGGAAUGCCAACUUCAGUAAUAGCCAAUUUACACAACACUGGUUCUACUUUUUUAGAACCAGUGGUUAACAUAAAUUCUCUAGUACAAGGGUCUGGAGUUAACAUGGGUAGAACUAACCAAUCUUCAGGUUUGAGACAUCCAACACAACUACCUACUCUUACCAAUAACUCCGCGGCAACAUGGAGGCAACAAAUGGACGAAAGCAACCAUGAAAUGGUUCAGAUGUUGACCUAGACUUUGACCAUCGUAUUGAAUCCUUUGAUUCAAAAUACGACUUAGUCAAAUCAACAGAUGACAACAAAAGUGGCAUGAAUGUCUGAAUUCCUUAGUGUACCGCAACACCAACGACACCCUCCUAGAGAUUGGGAAAGAGAAAAUCAAGAGGCCACUUUUGAAGAAGACCUCACUAUUAACCAGAUCCCACAAAACCAAGGGGGAGUAGUAGUACCCCUUAGGAUCGAACCACAAAUACCCAGGGAACCAAGGGUAUUAAUGGUGAAUAGAAACCAAAAUGUCGAUGAUAUCAUACAGUAAGUUCGACAUGACGAUGUGGAAGCAGAUAAUAAUCUAGCAGCUAUAGUCGAAAGAAUUAUGGUUCAAAAUGGGGUAAAUUUCGGUCUUAGAAGGCCAAAUUAUACGUCACCUUUGUCAGAGUAUAUCUUGCAGGCAAAAGCACCCCUAGAACCAAAAUCCCCAAAUUCACUAAGUUUUCUAGGGAUACCAUUGAAUCCAUUGUAGAGCACGUGGCUAGAUAUUUAAUUGAGGCAGGAGAUAUGUCAUAUAAUGAGAGCCUUAGGAUAAUUUUUUUUCAAGUUCUCUCACAAAGAAUGCUUUCACAGGGUUCACCACCUUGCCACAAAGUUCGAUCCACACUUGGAACCAACUGGAAAGAAUUUUCCAUGAGUAGUUUUACAUGGGGAAAACGAAGAUAAGGUUGAAAGAAUUGGCUAGUAUCAAGCGAAAGUUCAUUGAGCUGAUUGAUGACUAUCUAAAUAGGUUUCGAUUGCUCAAAGCUAGGUGUUUUACACAAAUACCAGAGCAUGAACUGGUCGAAAUGGCCGCUGGGGGCCUCGACUAUUCGAUUAGGAAGAAAUUAGAUACUCAAUACCCGAGGGAUAUGACCCAUUUGGCUGAUAGGGUUCGACAGUUGGAACGUUUGAAGGACGAAAAGGUCAGGGUAAAUAAAGGUAAAAUGGUAGCCUAUGUCGAUUUCAGAAAUGAUGAUGAAGGUUCUUGUCACGAAAUUUCAGACUUCGACGAUAAUGAGAUCGACCUUGCUGAAUUGACGCAAGGGCCAUCAUAUGCGUGCAAAGUUUUAGCACAUUCGAAUGGGAAAAAUUAUGUCGAACCAGAAAAGAGUGACAAAUUUCCUAAGAAAACUUAUACGUUUGACGUUACAAAAUGUGAUGAAAUUUUUGACUUGUUAGUCAAGGAUGGUUAAAUGAUAGUACCUUCGGGUGCUAAAGCACCUCCUUUAGAGCAAAGAAAGAAAAGAGGGUUUUGCAAAUACCAUGGUUUUCUAGGUCAUAAAACGUCUCAAUGUUUUCUUUUCAGGGAUCUUGUGCAAAAUGCCAUCCAGGAAGGAAAACUCAAGUUCAGAGACAAAACACGGAGCCAGAUGAAGAUCGACCCCGAUCUUCUACAAGUAGCUGAGGCCCAUUAUACUGAACCUGAAGAAGUGAGCCUUAUUGAAGUCGCUGAAGAUUUCAAAAUGACUGAAGUCACUGAGGACUUCGUCAAUGUACCUAUUAUGGCGAAGGUUCAUGAAUACUUCGAGCAAAAGCCUCUUGAUGAUUUCGCUCAAAAGGCUGCAGGAGAUAUCACCAACAAAAAUGCUGAUGCCUCCAACACUAAGGACGCUGAAAGUUCAAAGCUAAUGAUGAUCACCAAAGAAAUCGCUAAUGGUUUCGUCUAGAUGGGCAAGGCCACUGAGGGUCUUCAAAUACAAUUCCAAAGGUUAGAUAUCACUGAAGAUAUCCACAUGGAAGUCAAUAUGGUCGAGGUAUCUCAAGAGACCUAUGGAGGUCGACGAUGAAUGUCGACAGAAGGAGUAUGACAAAAUUGUCUUCCCUUAAGAGGAAGAAACGCUGUCUGACUUCCUCCGAAGGUGUCAGAAAAAGAAGUCGGAAGUCAUGAUGUGCCCUCGGUGCAGUGCUGUAUUCGACAAGAAAGCAACUUAAAAUCUUGAAGGGGUUAGAAGAGUAAACCACCGAGAUGGUCGCAAAGCCUCCCUAGAUAUCCCAAUCGGGAUGGUAUCCGUGAUGCCAAGGGAAUUCGAUCGGAUUACUAAAGUCGAAGACACCGACAACAUCACAAAGAGAGAAAUGGCUGCUCACAAGCCUGUGUGUUACUAUGUGAUGAAUAACGACUGUGUUGAAGAGCAAAAUGCCUUCUUCGAGAGGCCAAGUGAAGCCAUGAGGAGCCACCUUAAACCUCUUUUCAUCACUGGAAAAGUCGAAGACGUCCCCAUUAGUAAAAUAUUGGUGGAUUGCGGAGCGACUAUGAAUUUAAUGCCUCACCGUAUGCUAAAUUUUUUUGGCAAAUAUGAUACUGAUGCCAAACCUCAUAAUAUGGUGCUAACCAACUAUAAAGGUAAAGUGGGUUCCACUAUGAGAGUCAUCCAAGUCGAAUUAACAGUAGGGACAAUCACAAGAUCCACAAUGUUUAUGAUUGUGGAAACAAAGGCUAAUUAUAAUCUGUUGCUUGGAAGGGAAUGGAUACAUGGGGUCGGAGCUGUCCCAUCCUCAUUGCACCAGAGGAUAAUAAUUUGGCGCCCAGAUGGUAUUGUCGAAAACAUCGAGGCGAAUCAAGGGUACUUUAAAACCCCUAUCAAUCAUGUUGACAUGCGCAAAUUUGACAAACAUUUGGCCACCAUAGCUCCCUGUGAUUCGGCUGGGUUUGCAUUCACCCCUGAUGACAACGUUUAUUGUUCCAUGUCACUGCACUCUCACUAUGGUUUUCAUUGGGAUAGAGAAAUAGCAGGCGAAGAAGACUUCAUAUAUUUGGGAGUGUCUGGAAUCGUGCCCACAGGAUGAGGAAGUGUCUUCAGUAAUGAUGACUGAGUUUACAAUGCUAAAAAGGAUUUCGGCUUACAUAGCUGAAAGCAAGCAACAAUUGGCCUUAAAGGCUGAAGUAAAAAACAUGGCUGUCGAAGCCAAUGAAGUUUCUCAAUCGAUAAGUCCUGGGAAGGACUUUGACCCAAUGCCACCUGACAAGGGUCAUAAUGAAGAGCAAGACCAGAGGCUCGAUGCGAUCUAUGACGAUAAACCUUUGGGUUUUGAGAAGGAUCCGCUAGCAACAAACAUUAAAAUGCUAGCUCAGGAUCCUCUCGAAGAAGUAGACUUGGGAGAGGGAGUGAUAAAAAGGCUAACUUACAUUAGUUCCAAUAUCCAUCCUCAACUCAAAGUCGAAGUGGUCCAGUUGCUGAGAGAGUUUAAGGAUUGUUUCGCAUGAGACUAUGAUGAAAUGCCUGAUUUGAGCAGAGAGCUGGUCGAAUUGAAAUUGCCGAUCAAGCCUGGAAAGAAGCCUGUGAAACCGAACCCAAGGCGAUUUGCCCCAACAAUACUUUCGAAGAUUAAAGAAGAACUCGAAAGGCUCCUUCGCUGCAAUUUCAUUUGCACGACCAGAUAUGUCGAAUGGUUAGCUAAUAUUGUGCCAGUUGUAAAAAGGAAUGAUACUUUAAGGGUUUGCAUAGAUUUUAAAGAUUUAAAUACUGCAACCGCAAAAGAUGAAUAUUCAAUGCCAGUGGCAGAAAUGCUAGUCGAUUCCGCUGCAGGCUAUGAAUAUUUAAGCAUGCUUGACGGGUAUUCUGGGUAUAAUCAAAUAUUUAUUGCUGAAUAGGAUGUCCCGAAAAUAACAUUUCGAUGCCCUGGAGCCUUAGGCACCUAUGAAUGGGUGGUGAUGCCUUUUGGUUUGAAAAAUGUCAGGGCAACCUACCAAAGAGCGCUGAAUUCGAUCUUCCACGAUUUUAUAGAGACUUUUAUGCAAAUCUAUAUAGAUGAUAUUAUCAUUAAGUCUGUUUCAGGGAAGAGUCACAUAGAUCAUCUUCGAAUAUCUUUUGAGAGGAUGAGAAAGCAUGCUUUAAAAAUAAAUCCUUUAAAAUGCGCUUUUUGUGUGCAAGCUGGGGAUUUCUUAGGCUUUGUGGUCCACUAAAAAGGGAUCAAAAUAAACUAGAAUAAGACCAAGGCCAUCAUGGAAGCGAAUGGGCCAUAAACGAAGAAAGGUUUGCAGUUACUACUAGGUAAGAUCAAUUUCCUGUGGAGAUUCAUCUCAAACCUUAGUGUGAAGACACAAGCUUUUUCACCAUUGCUUCAACUCAACAAGGAAGGGUUCGAAUGAGGGCAGGCUUAACAAGAAGCAUUUGAUAAGAUUAAAGCAUACUUGAGUCAUCCACCAAUCUUGACACCACCUUGUAGAAACAAAAGUAUGAGAUUUUAUAUAUCUGCAUCUGACAAGACUUUAGGGAGCAUGUUGGCUCAAGAGGAUGAUAAUGGUGUCGAAAGAGCCAUCUAUUAGCUCAGUAGAGUCUUAAAUGAUGCAGAAACUAGGUAUAACAUAGUUGAAAAAUUAUGUUUAUGCUUGUAUUUCUCUUGUACAAAAUGGAAGGAUUAUAUAAAACUUAUUGAUGUUUAUGUUUCAUCUCAUUUCGACGUUAUGAAACAUAUGUUAUCCAAACCAAUUUUGCAUAGUCGAAUUGGGAAAUGGACGUUAGCAUUAACUGAACUUCUUUAACAUUAAUGCCAUUAAGAGUUGUUAAAGGAUAAGUGGUAGCAGAUUUUAUAGUCGACCAUUCCAUAGAUGCAAAUGCACUGAACUAUCUCAAAUUGGAACCUUGGAAGUUGUACUUGGAUGGGUCUAGUCACAAGGAUGGUAUAUGCAUAUGGGUUGUAAUUAUUUCUCCUAAUAAAAUUCCAACAAGAUUCAAGUACAAAGUAGAGGGUAUCUGCUCAAACAAUUCAUAUAUAAUAUGACAAGUGAUUAGUAGUUGAUGCAAUGCAUUUAGAAACAUCAAGAAAACAAGAUAAUAGGUAGAAAGUGAGAGCCAAUUGAUUGGUGAAGGAGGCCCAAUCGAUUGGUUGAGUAUACAAAGUCAUUUUCAAAGAAAAACAAAUGGAUCAAUUGAUUGAUGUUAAAGGCCAAUCGAUUGGCUUUUGACAAAUUUUCGUUUCUUCACAACCAGAGACAAAAAACAAUCGAUUGUUUCCCAUUACCGAUCGAUUGGUUCAGUUGUAAAAGUUACAUUUUCAAAAUAAAUGCAAGGAAAAAUAAAUUGUAGGAAAGUGCCAAUCGAUUGGUCUGUGAAGACUUUAACUUAUCCAAGUUUCAGUAGCAUCAUCCAUUUGAUUGUCCUGGUGAGGAGCCCAGGACCAAUCGAUUGGUUCCUUCUUCUCUUCACCAAAAUUUCCUCUGUAACCAUCAUUUCCAAACCUUCAUAAUUCUAGGUUUCACUUCUAACCACUAUGUCACUUAAACCACCAAUAACACAUGACAUGAUUUAUCAUAACAUGGAUAUAUUCCACAAGUUUAUUCCACAAGUUUCCUCAAGAUCAUGAGUAUAACUCAUAAUAACAACAACAUAUGAUCACAAUAACAUAAUAAUCAUAUAAAACAUGGUUAAAUCAUGAUUAAUCUAGAAUACAUAUCAUGUUAUCAUGGCUUUAAGUCAAUAUACUAUGAUUCAACAACAAAUCCCUAACUCUUAAAAUCACGAGUUUCUAACUAGAACCCACCUUGCUAAUGAGAUGAAGAAGUUGUUGAGAAGUGAUGAGAUGAAAUGAUGAUGAUGCUCUUGUUCUUCUUGUUCCUCCAAGUUCUUCCUCCUUCCAAGUUUUCCUUUUUUUUCCCUAAACUCUCUUUUCCUUUGUUAUGCUUACUGAUAAAAUGAAAUGAUACUUACAGAAAAGUAUCAUAAUAUGAGAUGGUAUUAGCAAGUGGGUUUAAUUAAUAUACAGUGGAGAAUUGGUCUUAAAAGAAGGAGAGAUUUGUGUGGACAAGAAUGAAGAGGAUUAGUAGAAAAUAUCCCAAGUGAUACCACACUUAAAAUUGUUCUACCAGAGCAAUUGACCCAUUAUUAAUGUUAGCAAAAUGUCCCCAAUUAAUAAAAGGUCAGUUCUAAAUAAUAUUAAUUAAAUAAAUUUGAGUUUACUAGUUACUCUAUUUAUCCCAAUUGAUAACUUCCAGAUCACAUAAUAACUCAGUUGAUCUCAAUUGAUAUGAAUUGGAUUGUUUAAUUAAAUAUGGGUUAUUAUAUUGAUUAUGCAGGUUGUAUGGAUUCUAGAAAAUCUAUUCCUGGAUAUGUUUUCACUAUGUUUGGCACGUAAAUUAGUUGAAAAACGACACUUCACAAGGUUGUUUCCUUAUUAACCAUUGAAACGGAGUAUAUUGCCCUUAUUGAACCCGUGAAAGAAGCAUUAUGGCUUGAAGGUAUUCCUAAGGAGAUGAAACUUCAAGGCCGACUUAUCAAUGUUAAAUGUGAUACUCAAAGUGAAAUACACCUGUCGAAGAAUUCAACCUAUCAUGAGUGAACCAAGAACAUUGAUGUGAGGCUGCAUUUCGCCUGAGAGAUAAUCGAGCAUUGAGAAGUCCAAGUGCGAAAUGUUUUGACUAAAAUGUUGUUGAUAUGACCACCAAGACAUUUCCAAGCUGCAAGUUUUUCCACUUUAUGCAGUUGAUAAAUCUGCAUGAAGAAGCUAGUUUGUUGCCUUAGUGUUUGUAGAUUUUAUUCCAAGGUUGAGAUUUGUGAGAAAUUCGACCAAACUCUAGUCUCGAUAAGGAUAACUUGAUAUUUCAACAGGAGAUGUAGAUGUUGUAGUCGAAGUUUGUUCAAGCAUGUUGUCGAAAUAUGUUAACUUGUAUUCUAAGUUAGUAUGUCGAAUUGGACCUUUGUUUAAGCCAAAUUAUUUAAGUUAUCUUGUUGCUUAAGUUAGCUUAGUAGUCUACAAAUAGACUAGCUCUCUCAGGUUGUUGAAAUAGGUUAGUUGUUGGUAUUCACUUGUAAUUUUUAACCCUUAUUGAGAAAGUGAAUAGUAAAAUAGUUUUAAUCAAUUCUUCUUCUUCUUCUUCGAUAUUCUAUCUCUUUCUUAAACCUAAUAGGGUUUCUUGUGUUUGUUCAAGAAACUCAAUCUUUAUCUCAUAACUUUGUUAUGUUAUUGGCGACAUCGUUUCACAACAAAUAUCAUAAAGCAUCUAGAAGGGGCAUUGUAGGUAUUUUAAAUUGAAUAACAAUAUAUGUUUCUUUGAUUUAAUCACGGCCUUUGAAUUAAGUUAAUCAAUGGUCCACAAUUUCUAUCCAUGUCCAUGUUUUUCUACCAAUAAAAAUAUAAAGAAAUAGAGAAUAAAAGAAAAUAGAAAAAAAUAAAAAAGAGAAGAAAAACGUGUGGAUAACUUCAUUUUUUGCCAGCCAGUGAUACCUCCACACACAAAGAAACACGUGUCCCCCCUUAUCUGGAGGAUCUCUGAAUUUGAAAAAAAGAAAGGAAAACAGGCAUGACCCCCAUCUCAAAAAUACGUCUCAACGUCUCUUUUACAUUAGAAUAGGAAAAUUAUUUUUCCUAAAAGGGGGAAAUUCUAAAUAGAGCCUUAGAUAGACUAUUCUCUCUCUCACACACACACAUACACCCCUCUCUAAAAACUUCACUGUUCAUCACACAAGCAAAACCUCUAAAAAAAACUAAAGAGAAACAUCAUAAGAAAAUCCCUUUGCUGAACUAAAUCAUCCGCCCAACACCUUAAUAACCCCAUCAAUCUCUCUUCUAAAACCUCACCACCAACAUACACCAUAGACCGCUUCUGCGUCGGAUAACUUCAUCACUCGAGACCUUUCUUAAACCUUUUAUACAACUCCACGAUUAACCCCUCUUCCAUCUCUCGGUCCAACUUCCAUAACGUUAUGCUUGCUAUGUAGCGCCUCUUUCAAAACUCAUCCUCUGUCCUCCAUUGCUUAUAGCCACCACCGUGCAUCCUCCAUUAACCACUUUGAAACCACCAUUAUCCAUGUAAUAUUUUGGCCGACCUUGAUCUCACAACCAUUAUUGCAUAUCAUCACAAACCACCAAAUGGACUACCAAAAAACUAUCUUUCAACAUACCCUUCCAACCAUUAAAACCCACAUCUCCGACCUCCUAUUUAUUCCUCAUCGUAACCCUCAACUCGACCUCCAACAACAAUAACCACCCACAUAACAACAUAAGUCCUCACAUGGUGCAACUCUACCUUUGGAAACCAAUGGAUAUUUUAGAGUGGAUUUCUAUAGAGGCUUCAAUAAGAUGCGAAAAGAUUUCUAUGACGGUAUUGGAAUUCUUCGGUUGUUAGGUGCAACACUUGUUCUGCCAAAGUUUAAAGUGGCUUUAUUUUGGGUUGAAACAAAUGGUUUUGCGGAUGUAAACGAUUUAGACUACUUCACUCAACUGACAUCGUUUCCAAACAUCAACAACUCAGAGAAACACAACUUAGUGAUAACUCACAUCUUCCAUAAAAAAUUUCACUCGCGUAGCGUUUGAUAUUUUUCGGUUUGAAUUUCAUUUAUGAUUUCUAUUUGGUUAUGUUUCAUUUUGAUUUGGUCGUGUUUGUUUCUUUUUCGCAUUUUCAAUCUCGGCUUACGUUGUUUACUAUCUUGUUUUAAUUUCGGUUAUGUUAUGAUUUAGUUUCGAGUUCUAGAUUGUAUCGGUUAUCAGUUUUUACAUUCUAGAGUGUGCAUUAUGUAAUGUUGUUUGAAUAUAGUGGCAGUAUUUGUUUUGAUUAUGUGAUUUCGCUCGCAUGCCAUUCGAGCCGAACAAUUAUCAAUGUCGUUGGACUUGAAUUCGAGUGAGCUAUGAUCCAUGUUUGUUUGCAUAUAAUUUGUUGUAUAUUUAGUUUGAUUGUUAUUCAGUUAUUGUAUUGAUUGCGAUUCAAUUAUGUGAUACUUGUGUUGGACUUUGAUAAAGUGAUAUUGUUACAACGAUGUGAAUAUUGUAAACAGUAAUAAUAUAUUGAAUUGCCGCUAUUUUAUUUUGAUGCGUUGGAUAAAUC
RNAcentral lists this long non-coding RNA (58977 nucleotides) under Lathyrus oleraceus (garden pea). RNAcentral's name for it is "Pisum sativum (pea) long non-coding RNA (PSAT_LNC011367)". Lineage: Eukaryota; Viridiplantae; Streptophyta; Magnoliopsida; Fabales; Fabaceae. The record is from RNAcentral.